GAUUCCUGUCUUUUGCUCAUAUUGUCUCCUAUGGAUAUGGAUUGAUAUGGGGCUUUCUACUUCUUACCUAUUCACUUCUACUUGAACCGUUCAACGAGCGUUGUAACGAUCCAAAGGAAAAUCUCCUGGCUCAGCACUAGUCAACUUGUGGGGUGUCACAUACCCUGCAGACAACAACCGCAGCAGUCACCAGUCUGGUCCCCUACCCCACAAAGUAGCUUGAUGGCCGAACCUUGUCACAUACCCUGCAGACAACAACCGCAACAGUCACCAGUCUGGUCCCCUACCCCACAAAGUAGCUUGAUGGCCGAACCACUCCCAAGGCGCAUAGUGCCCUAGGGGCCAACCGGCACCGACCGGCAGAGACUCCCGCGCAGUAGGAGCGGACUGAGUCGGUAUUCAUCUACGAGAGACGCACUCGUAUGCCUUUCAAGGCUUCUCCCUUGUAAAUAUUCUGAGGCAAGAAAGUAGAACCUCACCUCUUUCGGUUGCUGAACAUAAACCUACUUUAGAUCCACUAGAGCAUGUAGAUCUACUAGAAUACAAAGAAAAAAGUUGUUAGCCACAGAACUCUUUCUAAACCACUAGAGAUUGUCACCUACAAUAAUCAGUCGACCUACGCAACAUUGUAGAGAGACGUUCGACUCCACAUGUCCGCUUAACAGUUCCGAAGUAGCAAGAUGAGUGAAUAAAGGCGCUGUAAGCAGUAGUGAAUACUUUUUCCAUGGAGACAAACCCCUCUGGCGAAAACGUUCCCUUUGUCAGCAUAGACUGAACUUGUUGUGAACCUUUUCGAUUAUUUGUAGCGGAUCGUGAAGUAGCCCUAUUUCUUUACAAAAAAAGGAUACAUGCCCCUUUACUAAAAAGGCGGUACCCCUAUCACAACAAGGCAAGUUCAGUUGGGCCUCUCUAUUUGUUUCGAUGAAAGCCUCAAUGCUCGCGUUCUACGGGGAUGUUUUUUUGUACUAUUUACCUUCAUCAAAGCCGGAAGCAAAGGGCGAAAAAUCCAAAACAUGUAAAUAAAGGGUGCUUAUGUUGUGGUUUUGAGUUCCUUGGCUUGUGUUCUAAUAGUAACCACAGGAAGAAAGCGGGGAGCAUGGUCCCUAGUCUCGUUUUUGCCGAGCCUGAUUCUCUAUGGCAUGGACGUCUUUGAUUGGAUGGAGACAGAUAUAUAGAAAGUGUGCAGUGAGGGUGCUUGUAAAUCACUAGGUGUCUUUGAUUGGGCGGAGACAGAUAUAUAGAAAGUGUGCAGUGAGGGUGCUUGUAAAUCACUUGGUAGCCAUACAACACUUGGCCCAAGCAAUGCCCAAAAGUCCCAUGCCUUUCUUGGUCGGACCAACCUAACCGGUGAUUUCCGACAAGUCUUUCCAAAUUGGAAGAGCAAGAAGCGGAACUAGAAGAAAACUUUCUCUCUUUAUGGAUAACCAAUUCAUUUUCAAAUAUAGUUGGGAGACUAUACCCAAGAAAUGGGUCAAAAAAAUGGAAAGAUCGGAACAUGGGAAUAGAUCUGAUACCAAUACGGACUACCUAUUUCAAUUGUUGUGCUUUCUGAAAUUGCAUACCUAUACAAGGGUUCAAGUUUCGAUCGAUAUUUGCGGAGUUGAUUAUCCCUCUCGAAAACAAAGAUUUGAAGUGGUCUAUAAUUUACUGAGUAUUCGAUCCUAUCGAUAUUUGCGUUGUUGAUUAUCCCUCUCGAAAACAAAGAUUUGAAGUUUACUGAGUAUUCGGUAUAAAUCACACAUUCGUGUACAAACCAGUGCAGACGAAGUAACACGAAUAUGUCCGGUAGUCAGUCUAUUUCCAUCAGCCGGCCGGUGGGAACGAGAAGUUUGGGAUAUGUUUGGUGUUUCCUCCAUCAAUCAUCCGGAUCUACGCCGUAUAUCAACAAAUUAUGGUUUCAAGGGUCAUCCAUUAAGAUAAAACCUUCCUCUGAGUGGAUAUGUGGAAGUACGGUAUGAUGAUCCAGAGAAACGUGUGGUUUCUGAACCCAUUGAGAUGACCCUAGAAUUUCGCUAUUUCGAUUUUGAUAGUCCUUGGGAACAAUGUAGCAGUGGAUAAUUCAGAAUCAGAAUAGGUCCAGUCCAUGGGGAAAUAAAUAGGAAAUGCUAUUUGCUUCGUAAGAAUAAGAAUUCACUUCUAUGAAAUGAAAGAGUUUCACGGGAAUUGUCUUGAUCGUCGGAUAUCAUUGAGAAAGAAAUAGGUAGAAGUGUUAUCGAACAAUUUCUUGCAAUUCUUCCCACUAUGGAAUGAGAAAGAAUCAAGCUGCAAGUCUCGAUCUAUACGAAACGCAGUGGUUUUUUUUCUUUCUUUUGGUUGCAUUGAUAACAGAAAAGACUUACUCUAAAGGGGCGCUAGCGCUUGAAUAAUAACAUAUCAAAGGGGCCUGAAAAAACGUAAUAGGCUGCUACUCUAGGCUCGCUUUGCUUCUUCAAGCUCCGCCCCUUCUUUCAAAAAUAAAAAAACAGCGCUAACGAGCAAGAAAACGGAUGCGCUAAGGCGCAACUUUGCGCAGCUGCUACGCCCUUGCUUCUUGCCUUAUCUUACUUAGUAAAGCAACCUUUCGUGCUAGGCGCUCACCUUUUUUGUUUGGGUGGAAGCUGGCGGGCAGGGCUUGCUUAACCGGAUACACGGAAUUGGGAUCUCUGUUGCAUGCAAAUCUUUCUAUCGGGAAAGCCUCGCUUAUUCAAAGGGCUUCUUAUUUAGAACCCUUUUUUUUGCUUAGUUGUAAGUAAGCAUUGGUAGGAGCAGCGGGAUGAUGAUGAGUAUAUAAAUCAAUAAAGACCAAAAAAUAAUAAAUGGCAAGAUAAAUUAGAUAUCUAUGGAAAAAAUAACGAUGUAGAGGGCGACUGAAAAGGAGGCUCGACCUACAGGGAGAGUGGUGGGCAGGGAUUCUCUACAAUGACACUGUUGUAGACCAAUUGAAAGGGAUGUAGCGCAGUUUGGUAGCGCCUUUGUUUUGGGUAAAAAAUGUCACGGGUUCAAAUCCUGUCAUCCCUACCUAUUCUUCUCCUCUGGGCAGUAACGAGGGAUCCAUUGAGAUCGAUUCAAAUUGGACAUACAGAUUUUCAUUUUAUGAGACUAUAUGCAAAAUGGCAAGAUAAAUUAGAUAUCUAUGGAAAAAAUAACGAUGUACAAGGCGACUGAAAAUGAGGAUCGACCUACAGGGAGAGUGGUGGGCAUGGAUUCUCUACAAUGACACUGUUGUAGACCAAUUGAAAGGGAUGUAGCGCAGUUUGGUAGCGCCUUUGUUUUGGGUAAAAAAUGUCACGGGUUCAAAUCCUGUCAUCCCUACCUAUUCUUCUCCUCUGGGCAGUAACGAGGGAUCCAUUGAGAUCGAUUCAAAUUGGACAUACAGAUUUUCAUUUUAUGAGACUAUAUGCACUGGGCAGUAACGAGGGAUCCAUUGAGAUCGAUUCAAAUUGGACAUACGGAUUUUCAUUUUAUGAGACUGUAUGCAUGCAAGAUGUAUUGAGGGUACAAAAAGAAUCCUUUUUCUUUACAGCCGUAUCUGCUGUGAUAAGAAAGCCCUAUUAAUUCAGUUCGGUAGAACGUGGGUCUCCAAAACCCGAUGUCGUAGGUUCAAAUCCUACAGAGCGUAAUUUUUUUCUUCUUAGAUCGAAUUAGAAUGAAAUAGAUUCAUUCAGUAACUUUCACAACAAUCGGAAUUUGACCUCCUGUGCUUGUGAAUUAAAGAAAGGAGGAGGUCAAUAAAAAAAAACAGAGAUGUUAAUUAAUCAAAGGUCCAACUGAUCACUGCGCCUGUAUUGUAAAUAUGCAGUUAGGAAUAGUUCAGCCAAAGUAAUAGGAAUUAGACCUAACACGAUUCCAAAUAGAAAAACUUCAAUCAUUUCUCUUUGUUUGAAAGGAGAAACAAAAAGAGGUAAUAUCUAUACCUAAAUAUUAAUCCGAAUUGACAUGAAUCUCAAUGACAAUGACCAAGAAUUGACAAUUGGUAACGUAAGUAAAUAUAGAAUACAUGUAAUCCCACAGAAAGAUUUCUUUUUAUGAAUAAUUCAUUUUAAAUAUUCAGUUUAAAUAAUAAUUAUCCUGGUCAGACCAAUAAAUAGAGCUGAGGUUCUAGUUAAAGCCGCUAAUAGAAAAGCGAAAUAACUAGUUAGUAAGCAUGAAAGGGAUAAAUUAAAUGAAAGAUUUUCUUUUUUCAUAUGUUUAGAAAGCACUUACCUAAGUUUCCAUUUUUUCAAAAUAGGAGGAUAGGCAAAUAUCUCAAUUUCAAUUGAAAGAAGAAGUUGAAUAAAAAGUUUUUGAUUCAUAUAUCAUUAUAGGGAGACAACACUAACGAAGAUAAAGUGACAGACAUAUAAAAGAAAUUGAUUCAUCAUCUGUAACAUCUAUCCAUCCCGCAAUUGCAAUCAACCGAUUUAUUGAGUAACUCUUUGGUAAACUAAUAAACUAGUAAGAGUUGUAUCGUCUAACUUCAUUCAAAAAUGAAACUAGAAUUUUUAUAGAAUCAAAUUCUAAAAUCAUUUUUAUUUUGAUCAUUUCUUAGAUUCUGUUGAAUUGUAUCGAAUCCAUUUUCGAUUUUAAAGCGAACAGUUACCUUAUCAAACUAGAAAACUUUUUCUUUUUAAUUUCUUAGAUUAUAUUGAAUUGUAUCGAAUCCAUUUUCGAUUUUAAAGCGAACAGUUACCUUAUCAAACUAGAAAACUUUUUAUUUUUACUUUAGUUUAAGUUUAACUCAUUAGAUUCAGCAAUAUAUUAAUUCACAUAAUAUCUUGAAUGAUUGAGAAGAAGAAAAAGUAAUCACACAAUCGCUUGAAAAAAUCUUUUUUUUGGUCCAACUAAUAGUAAUUUCUAUUAGGUUCCACAUUUUUGCUUUCCAUACUGCCCCCCCCCCAAUCUUAAUAUAUGCAAUUUCUUGCUGACUUGCCCUUCUUUCCUUCCUUCCCCACCCAUACCACCCUAUUUAGAAAAAAGUGCACCGCUUGCUUGAAGUCGGUUCUUCCUCGCCUUCGAGAAGCGGGUUGUCUUUCGUCGGACUUAUAUACCGAAAGUUCGGUUAGAGCUAGCAGCUGACCCUAUUUACAUUUUUUUGAGGUUGACCUUUCCGGCAACAGAAAGAUGCCCUUCCAAUUGAAAGCGGAAAGCCGCGAGCGCCUACGUAAAUAGCUUUUUUAAUUCUCUUGAAGUCGAUUCUUCCUCGCCUUCGAGAAGCGAGUUGUCUUUUGUCAGACUUAUAUAGCAAAAGUUCGGUUAGAGCUAGCAGCUGACCCUAUUUACAUUUUUUUGAGGUUGACCUUUCCGGUAACAGAAAGAUGCCCUUCCAAUUGAAAGCGGAAAGCCGCGAGCGCCUACGUAAAUAGCUUUUUUAAUUCUGACCUUGUCCAUCCUAAAAUAAUGAGAAAGUGUGAAAAUCACACCCAACCUUCGACACAGGAUAAAGGUCUCCUCUUCUGUUCCGCUUUCUUCUGCUCACCAAAUCGAAACUCCAUUUCAAAACUCGGAUCCUUCGACACAGGAUAAAGGUGUCCUCUUCUGUUCCGCUUUCUUCUGCUCACCAAAUCGAAACUCCAUUUCAAAACUCGAAUCGAGGACCCACACCUUCCCAAAUUCUACUUUUUUCCCCGUAACAGCAGCAGAAAGAGUGAACUUGCCCAGCGAGGGUUGAGACCAAUGCUAUCAAUAAGAAGGAGAGACGGUUUCCACUGCCUCAGAGGAGAACAACCCCUCAAGUUUUUUCCUUUGGCUUCAUCUCUGAGGUAAGGCAAGCAUGGCAAGCCGAAUGACUCUUUAUCCUUUCUUUUCCCAGACGAGACCCUCUCAGACAGAAAUUCUUCUGGAAACUCUUUGAACCGCUUGCUCUGAUCGCUUCGACGAUUCUACAUACCGGCCGGAAAGAGAGAGAGAGAGCAGUGUGAUUGUCCAUAUAAUGGAAAUAAUAGAUAUGCACUGUCGUAGAGCUUCGCUAGCAGUGUCGAGUUUAGCUCGCGAUUCGACUUCAACUAAGGACCUGAACUGAAUGGAAUUUAAGAGCUCUCACGCGGCUAUCUAAAGAAUGAAGAACUGCUACUGAACGAGAGCGAGUGAAGUGAGUAAGCACGGAACGAGCUAAAUAGAAGUUGUAGCAACGAGCUACUAAGGAAUGACUGUGUUGAAGUUUCAAACGUAGAGCUCGGUACAUUCAAUUUCAUAAUUGUAUUCCAGGCUUAGCACAACAUCCUUAUGCACCCAUUUCACAUAUUAGGCCUAGCUGGUGUAAAUGACGGCUCCCUAUUUAGUGGUAUGCAUGCUUCCUCAGUAACUUCUAGUUUGAUCAGGGAAAGCACAGAAAAUGAAUCUUCUAAUGAAGGUUACAGAUUCAGUCAAGAGGAAGAAACUUAGAAUAUCGUAGUCGCUCAUGCUUAUUUUGGCCGAUUGAUCUUCAAAUAUGCUAGUUUUAACAACUCUCGUUCGUACACAUCUUCUCUUUGUUUCCCGUGCCUCUAGUGAGUUAGAGACAGAGUUCGAAAAGGUCAAAUCUUUGAUGAUUCCAUCAUCUAUGAUUGAGUUGCGAAAACUUCUGGAUAGGUAUCCUCCAUCUGAACCGAAUUCUUAACAUGUCAAGUCUUUGAUGAUUCCAUCAUCAAUGAUUGAGUUGCGAAAACUUCUUGAUAGGUAUCCUCCAUCUGAACCGAAUUCUUUCUAGUUAAAAUAAUCUCUUUCUAGUAGCUCUGGAACAAUUAGGAGAUUCUAUACGGGGCUUUGCUUCUGAUGGCAACAUUCUUGGUCCCGCUUAUGGGGUCAAAUCAAUACGUUCUAAGAAGAAAGAUUGGAAUAUCAAUCUCCUCGAGAUCAUCGAUCUCAUACCAAAUCCCAUCAAUCGAAUCACUUUUUCGAGAAAUACGAGACAUCUAAGUCAUACAAGUAAAGAGAUCUAUUCAUUCAAUCUCAUCGAGAUCAUCGAUCUCAUACCAAAUUCCAUCAAUAGAAUCACUUUUUCGAGAAAAUACGAGACAUCUAAGUCAUACAAGUAAUGAGAUCUAUUCAUUUUUAAGAAAAAGAAAAAAUAGGGAUUGGAUUGAUGAUAAAAUAGAAUCAUGGGUCGCGAACAGUGAUUCGAUUGAGGAUGAAGAAAGAGAAUUCUUGGUACGGUUCUCACCUUAACGACAGAAAAUAGGAUUGAUCAAAUUCUAUUGAGUUUGACUCAUAGUGAUCAUUUAUCAAAAAAUGACUCUAGUUAUCAAAUGAUUGAACAACCGGGAGCAAUUUACUUACGAUACUUAGUUGACAUUCAUAAAAAGCAUCUAAUGAAUUAUGAGUUCAAUCCAUCCUGUUUGCAAUUUACUUACGAUACUUAGUUGACAUUCAUAAAAAGCAUCUAAUGAAUUAUGAGUGCAAUCCAUCCUGUUUAGCAGAAAGACGGAUAUUCCUUGCUCAUUAUUAGACAAUCACUUAUUCACAAACUUCGUGUGGGGAAAAUCAUUUUCAGGGAAAACCCUUUUCGCUCCGCUUAGCCUUAUCCACCCUCUAGGGGUAUAUUAGGGAUUGGUUCUAUAGGAACUAGACGAUCCUAUUUGGUCAAAUACCUAGAGACAAACUCCUAUGUUCCUUUCAUUACGGUAUUUUUGGGCAAGUUCCUGGAUAAGAAGCCUAAAAGUUUUCUUCUUGAUGAGAUCGAUAUUGAUGAUAUUGACCUUGAUACGGAGCUGGAACUGCUAACUAGGAUGGAUCAGGAUGAGCUAGGCUUUCAACAGCAUAAGGCACAUUCGUGAAGUGCAGCUUGACAGCAAUAAGGAAUCAGUCUCCCCUAUCACCAACCUGUACCUUCUUUCAAUGCACCAUUUAAGGCCAAAAAGCAUGGCCUUUGCUUCUGCCCAGUUGCUGGUUCCAGCACCCAAGGGAAUGGAGUAAGCAUGUACCUUCUUUCAAUGCACCAGUUAAGGCCAAAAAGCAUGGUCUUUGCUUCUGCCCAGUUGCUGGUUCCAGCAGCCAAGGGAAUGGAGUAAUCCAUAAUAAGAGCACCCAUACUAUCUCUGACAACACCACCACCUCCACAAAUACCAUCUCUACAGCUACCAUCACUAUUAAGCUUGACAAAAAGCAGUGGUGGCUUGAUCCACCUAACCAAAGCCACAGAUUUCUAAGUCAUUGAAGCAUCACACAGAUGACAGAUACUCUUCCAGCUCUCACCUACUCAAACCUUGCCAAACUGAGAAUGCAACAGGUGAGAUAAGGAGUAUGUGAUCAAUGCCUUGGAUCUAUUGAGUGAUGGUUUUUCAGAACCAUAUUUAUUGCUGCACCUGGACCUCCACAGCUCCCAGCAAACCAAAGGAGGCAUGACCUUAGUAAUAUAUGAAGCCACAGGAUUAAGGACCUUGUGGUUCCACCAAUUAAGAAGUAGCAUUCAACAAUUGAUGUUCCCAAACCAGUUGAGCAAAAACACCAGAGCAAAAGAGAUGCUCAACAGAUUCUAAGCUUGAGUUCACAGUAGAGUCAACACAGCAAUAACAUUUAGGGGAAAGAGAAUGACCAAACCUGGACACUCUCUCAUCAGUUGGGAGUUUAUCAUGGACUGCUCUCCAGGUAAGAAAUGCCAUUUUAAAAGGCACAUCCCUAUGCCAUAUCUUUGAAUCUAAAAAGGACACCUCUUUUUUCUGUCUAAGCAUAUUCCAGGCUGAAGCAAGAGAGAAUUUACCUGAUGCAGUUGGAGACCAAAUUGCCAAAUCAUCUUCAUCUGGACUGAGUGUAAGCUGCAUAGAGGAGAUGAUGUUCUUCACAAAGUCUGGAGGUUGAGUGUGCAGACAAUCCCAGUGCCAUUGAUUGUCCUUAAACACUUCAUUGACCCUGAUCUUGUCUUGCCUAGAAUCAUCUACUAAAAAGCUGUGCAAGGGGCUCAACCCUCCUCUGUAUGAUGAGCCAGAGUUAGAGCCGACAAUAAGCUAAUGGAUGCCAUCUCUGCUGGAUAAUUAAUUCCUCCCUUUCAAUUCACGGAAAGCACAGUCGAAAAGACGUAAUGAAAUUGGUGAGCGCUUGCCUUACCUAGUAGGGCAACCGACCAAGGCUCAGACCCUUAUGAAUCGGCCGUCCGGGCCUGUCAAGUUAGGCCUUCGUAAAAAAGUCCACAGGGCGUUAAGCUCGGUGAGGUGGGUUCGAAAGAUAGAGAGUUGAUGAGGAGGCUUUUAUAAGAAAAAAGGCAUGGGGCUUUUGGGCCUUGCUUGGGCCGAGUGUUGUAUGGCUACCUAGUAAUUUACAACCACCACUCUAUCUAGCCUAAGGAAUUUGCUAUCCGCGCUUUUUUUUCGAUCUUGUACCUUAGUACACUGAACACUUACCUAAUCUUGAAUCUUGAAAGUAGAGUCUCUUUUUCAAUCAACUGGCAUACCUUGAACCUAGCCCGAAAUUCUUUCUUUACUUUAUCUUAUCAAAUUUCUAGUUUGUGAUCGAGGGCGGCCAAAUAUGAGAUAGGUUGCAGGUAUAGUCAGAACUGAACUUGGCUAAUUUCGUAAUGUUGACCCCACGGAGCGGUAGUGAAGGAGACAUCAAAUGGAUGGAAAUUCUCCACAUUAUGGUUGCUGCCGCUUCUAUCUCCGGCGCUCUGAUUAUCGGGUAUGACUGUUACUUUCUUGCCUUGCCCCACUCCCACCCACCUCUUCCGAAAAGACAACCUCGAUCAUUCAUUACAUAUGAUAUAUCGAGAGUUCAAGACCAUAACGUAAUUCAUUUAGAGAAUGCCGAUGAGAAAGUAGAUCUGGUUCCGAGAUCUGGAAAGCUGUGAAUACAGUUAGUGAAGCUAGACCGGGAAGUGGGGUAUCCCUGGAAAAGAGGUCGGCCUUAAGUUCUAGCUUAGAUAGCUUAGACUGAAGAGUUGUAGCUUUGCUUUCUGAAAGAGUCAUUUUCUCGUUAUUAGAGAGAAGCAGAAGCCUUAGAAGGGAGCACUCGUGGCACACUUACUAUAUCCCAUUCCAGCCUCACCUUACCCAUUCUUAACUAACCUACCUUGCUUUUCAAAUAUAAAUAGAAAAGCACUCAGGUCAACAGCUCCUUUCAUCAUGGUUCACUGUCCCUAAUCAAUUUUGAUCACUAAAAAAGAUCUCUGCAGGUCCUUCUCCUGGAAGACAGAAUCAAAGGUAGACAACUUUCACUUCAAUAAGAGGUAAGGCAGAAAAAUGGAAAAAGGAAUGGCACCUUGACUUUGAAAACUCAAAGGGCAAGCAAGGGAAGUGCAAGCUAACUAAUGGCAAGGGCCGGAGAUAGAGAGUGAUGAAGGGGGAAGAGGAGCUUGGUAGCUUGCGUAAGUCCAGUUUCAGAGGUUCAGAAGCCAAAGGCAACUCUCAGACCAUUUGAGUUUACAGACUCUGCCGCUUAGGUGACUACGAGAUAGAACAGGUUCAAAAGCCAAUGGCAACUCUCAGACCAUUUGAGUUUACAGACUCUGCCGCUAAGGUGACUACCAGUAGAGGAACUGAACGGGCAAGAAGACCUACUAAAUAGGAGUAAAAGGUGCUAUCCCAAUAGGUUCCAGAUCGGAACGAGCAAUAAGUGAAGGAGCUUGACCAAUCCCAAUGAGGGAAGUAGUGAAAGAGAAGCGGAAGGGACAUCUUGAACUCAGGGGGAAGGGACCUUAAUGACAACAAAAGAAGUGCGUGCAUUUCCCGAUCAAAGAAGCCCUUGAACUCACCUCCAUUCAACAAAGAAAUUUCACACAUGAACUCUCCUCGGGAUUGGACUCUUUCUGACAGCCCUUUUGCCAGCGUAGAUGAAUCUUCUAUCCAGAUCUGAUUUCGACCCAUCGGGAUUGGACUCUUUCUGACAGCCCUUCUGCCAGCGUAGAUGAAUCUUCUAUCCAAAUCUGAUUUCGACCCGUCUUCCAACACACCUUCAACCAACCAUAGAGAUCAGGAGUGAGAUAUCAGAGUCGACCUCCUUGUCAAGUCAGAUAGAUGACUAGCAUAUAGAGAUGCUUACAACAUCAUUCUUUGAAUAACUGAAAACAGAAGCGACGAAGCAAGGAGCUUAGCGUACCGUUUUUGACUACCUUCUCUGUCAUGUCUGAGUUCUAACAUUCUAGGGAAUCUGUGGUUUGCUUUGUCAAUGCCACUUUCAAUAUGCUUCAAACAUACAAGUUUGGUUGAACUGUUCACAUUGGCCAUCUAGAGAGAUUAUAUACAGUGUGCCGUUAGGGAGGAGAACUCUUGAAUAGGAAAGAGGGGGAAAACAGACGAUGAGAUCAGUCGCAGGCCAAUGAACAUAUCUAAAUUGACAGCAAUAAAUAGCUUUGCUUUGCGUAAAUAAAUAUAGAUGCCCCUGACUCGGGGAUUAGCUGUUCCUCGUCUCUUCCCUACCUUCUUGGGUCAGCAGUUGAUCUCGUUGCCUCAUACCUUUCUAGGGCGUGACCCCUACCAUAACAGAACGACUCGCCUUUCCAUGCGCUAAGCUGGGCAGAGCGCUUUCAGUAAAAGGACUGUACCAAUUAUAGAGUAGCAUUCUUCUCCUUCACAUCGUCGGUCAACUUUAGGGACAGUGGAUAGAGCUCGUCCCUAUUUGACUGAAGAGGGUAUGGUUCGCUCCAAUAACAAGUGCUACUUGUUGACUGCCACAUACCGGCUUUCCUCAGGCGUUGACUGUGGCAAGGCUAGCCGUCUAUCAAGAGAAGAAAUUUUCCUGAAUCAAUGAGAGAGAUCAAUGUGCAUAUUUCCUUUCCAAUCUACCUCUUGGUUGAGAGAAAUGCGCCUGACUCGAUCGGUACCACUGCAACUAACUUGGCUGGAAGGGGCUAAAAAGGACGUGAUUGAUAACACUUCUUUUGGCCUGGAGAGGAGUCUGACGUACUUCUAUCACUCAGAGAAUGCUUAAGAACUGGCCACCAAACAAAGAGAUCUGAUGCUCGACUUCCUAAAAGAAAUAAAGCCCGGUAUGGAUAUUCAUUCCGCUAGAGCAAAGGCAUGAAGUGAAGGAGGCCGCUAAGGUUGAGCCUUACUAAUUUUAAAGAGUCAUAUUCAAUCACCUGGAAAUAUCCACAUUUGUGAAUUGAAGUUGUGGAGGGAGAUCCAUGCAAUGGCAUUUCAUCAACAUAUACCACUUCUUCUUCUUCCCUUCUUGGGCAUUUGGAACUGUUAGCAGUUGAGGACGAACUUCAGGCUUUCUAUGAGUGGAAAUCUGAUUAGCGAACCCUCUUUCAUAUCUCCGCCUUUCCCUUCUAGUCAUGGUCACCAUUUUGUUAUCACUGCGUAAGACUACUUCACCAAGUGGGUUGAAGCAAUACCAAUAGCCUUAAGAUUGGAAAGUCGCUUUUAAGCCCAAGUUCAAGUACCUCUUCCUUUCCCUUCUAGUCAUGGUCACCAUUUUAUUAUCACCGUGUAAGACUACUUCACCAAGUGGGUUGAAGCAAUACCAAUAGCCUAAAGAUUGGAAAGUCUCUUUUAAGCCCAAGUACAACCAAACUAGCAGGAAAUGAAAGCAGAAAUGGAUCUGCGUCACUGUCUGUAUGCUUGUAUUCAAGAAUCAAUCAACCAAAGAAGCAAUCAACAAAUCAAGUUGAGGUAUCAAAGUCUAUCCUGUCUUCUUUCGUUUCGACCCUGAUGUAUGAGAUGAGGAAUCCCUCAUAGCUAGAUUCAUCAGUAGCUUAGAAACUAGGAACUGGAUGAGGGGAAGAGAUGAGAAUAGGCCUCGCCCAUUCCAUUACGGCAUUCUCAGGAAUCCCUCAUAUCUAGAUUCAUCAGUAACAUAGAAACUAGGAUCCGGAUGAGAGGAAGAGAUGAGAAUAGCUCUCACCCAUUCCAUUACGGCAUUCUUUUCUUGAUCACCAGAUAUUGAUAGAAAAACUGUCACACCAAAAGAAAGACACAGGGGGAGCUGCGGCAAGGGUAAGAUUGAGUCUAGGCUUAAUGCCCCAACGAGCACAGUUAGAAGAGAAGCCUUUGGGCAAAUUGAUAGGAAUCAGAGGAGAAAGAUAGAGCCGUUGCCGUUCUAGCCGGUGUCAAAAGACGUGAAGUGAGGGCGUGGUUCAAGUCACAUCGUAUUCUCGUCUUCAUAAAGGUUAGAGUUUGACUGUUUGUUGCCAAUGAGAAGAGUUCAUUGAUUAGGUCCUACUAUGGGUCUGUAGCUGACAGCGGCAGUGAUUUUCUUAUCGAUUAUUGUAGAUUAAUAAGACCCAAAAUUGGUAGCGAGUAGAAUAAAAAAGUUAUGUGUACGCACAAGACCUCACUUGGGACAAGCAUAUCUACAUGUAUAUUAAGAGUGAGUAGAAUAAAGAAGUUUCUUCUAGAAUGCCGAUUAGUAGGUAAAUCGCCCACUAUAUAUAGCACCUAUCGGACGGGGAAACUUUAUUGAAUUGAGCUCGGUCUAGAAGGUGUAAGCAGGGAUGUGGAUUGAGUCCAAGCACAGGAAGGAUCUGACUAGAAAGUCGUCUUGCUGAUGCGAUAGUCCUCUGGGUAUGGCCACAUUCGUCUCGACAAUAGGAUAGGGAAAGAAAAUCCAUAGACGAGACCAACUGGGACCGAACCUUUCUAUCUUGUUCUUUCUCUUUUUGUUCCCGCCAGCCAAAGACCUAUGUUUCAAUAACGAUGAAGGGAUACUAGAAAGGAAAGGGCUUCAGGAGAGAUGGUUAGAUUGGAUGGGUGUAGUUGAUCGAUCGAACUACAAUGAUUUGAAUAAAGACAGACAGACUUCCGUGCGAAAGAUAGAACGACAAAACUUUAUUAUUAUAUUAUUGCAUUUUUCCUAAACUUCGUCAAGCCUAUCCGCUCAUUUGUUCCAAACCAGAGUUUCUAGUUUCAAGAUCGCGCUUUUAGUACGCGUGUGGUGAGAUGUUCCAAGCCCGGUAUCUACUGAUUUUGCCAUUCCUAUGAUUCAAAGGAUUCACCAGCUAUAGGGCAGUUAGCGCAGACAUCAAGUAAGGGCUCGUAGGCUACUCAUGCCAAAUAUCCGAUUUUUUGGCAGUUAGCGCAGACAGCAAGUAAGGGCUCGUAUGCUACUCAUUUUUCAAGGGGAAGAGAAGAGCUCCAGGUCAAGCCUCUUAUUAUAUUUAUUCUAUUGGGUCUACCCGUUGGGCCGGUAAGCGAGACAGAAGUCUCACUGUUCGUGGUGUUGCAAUGAAUUCAUUGGAUGAUAAUAGCAUAUAAAGAUUUUCUUACUACUUCCUCCUCUAUCUAAGUGUCAUGUUUUAGCUCAUAGGUGGUUCGUUUUGAAGUGACUUCAUCUAUAUGUUUAACACAUGCGUGUACUACUCGUUGUGUAGUAAAAUUUCCUGUCAGUCACGAUUGGAUUUGAAUCAAUAUAAAGCUUAGUAGAUCGUGAGUCUUGGUUCUUAGCGAAAUGCUACGCGCUAUCUUACAUACCAGUAAAAUUUCCAGUUAGUCACGAUUGGAUUUGAAUCAAUAUAAAGCUUAGUAGAUCGUGAGUUUUGGUUCUUAGAGAAAUGCUAUGUGCUAUCUUACAUAUAAUGAUUUAGAUCACCAAAAAGGAAUUCCAGUAAUAUCGUACGGUGGAAUGACAAUGUCACUGAAGGGAAUAAUCUAAUAUAGGACUGCUCACCUGUGUAAAGACAUUGAAUUAGUUCUCAGUGAAAGAGGUCUCGAGUCAAGGAAGAAAAACCAAGCUCUGUCAGUCUGACCUCCUCAGAAGUACGUGAUUUUGCCUUCCCAACCAAUUGAAGUAGGAAGAACCCUGGAAGAAGAAAAACCAAGCUCUGUCAGUCAGACCUCCUCAGAAGUACAUGAUUUCGCCUUUCCAACCAAUUGAUAUAGGAAGAACCCUCGACCUAUUCAUUCCUUUUCAGACUCGCCUAGCGGUCUUUUUCAUAUCGUAAAGCGGUAUUUCUCUCUUUUAUCAUCUCUUCAAGGAGAUAGAGCUUCGGUUCCGCCUCUUCCUAAUGGACUACGAGGACCUAGGACUGAGGACUUUUAGAAAGAAGGAUUACCGUACUGGCUUACGCUUAUUAAGAACAGACUGGCUCACUUCCUGGCUUUUUUAUUCAAAGAAGGCAAAGAAGGAGAGGAAAGCACAGACGGGAAAGAAAGGGGAAGCUCCUACUCAAGUCAUCGAGUGACAUAUAAAACAAGGAGACAUCUUUAUGCAUGCGCAAAAGGCGAUUAAUCGAGAUAGUGCAGAGGUGACAAAGCAUGCAUGAGGUUUCCUUCAAUCUGGUGGUCCCAACAAAAAAAACAUUAGAGCUCGCGGCCUCAGUUGGCAAAAUAAGGGUUGUUGCCCCGUUGUGAAGACAACUGAAUGCUAUUGUUAUUUAUUUCACUUGAGAUGGGCCUUCUUACCACUGCUUCUGCCUAUUACUAUUCUUUUGUUGUGCUUCCUGGACAAAAGCUGGUUAGCCUUUUUUUUACUUACAACUCAAGUAAUAUUAGCUAUUUGUGUAAAGCAACGAUUCGUCAACCCACUCGCUUUCUUAGUUGCUUAUUUUUUUUGUAUACAUCAACCGGUUGCCUAAAUGCAAGAUCUUCAUUAUCACUAUCUAAAGAGGAAGACUCUGUUCAAAGCGGUAUGGUUCUAGUUUUUUGAAAAACAAUAGCUUAUCGCUAAUCGCUUAUACCCGGCCAUCCUGAUAGUGAGCUCCUUUCAAAGUUUCAAACACAAUCCCUAGCGUAAGUCGCAAUCAACUUGAUGCACUUUGUCGGACUAAUGAGAAUAGGACCUAAUUAGAGGUGGUUGGCGCCUAUAUACCACCUCAAACACUCUUUGUUUGGUUUCUGAAUGAUAAGUGGUAUUGUACCACUAUUCCGCCCAUGGUAACCAAUGUUCCCAUUCCUUUUGAAUAUCUCUUGUAAAGCAUCCCAGGUAGUUCUCUAAGCACCGAUUAAGCACCUCCCUCACAGUUUGCAUGAGAUUCCACUUAUUCUAUGUCAUUUUAAGCCCUAGGUAGUUGUUCCUCACGCCGUUCUGUUCUUGGUCUGAUAGUCUAGUUAACGGUUUCUAAUCUACUUUCUAUCUUGUACAGAUCUUCCUUGACCUUUCUUCCUCGUCCAGUGACGUAUUUGCUCCCUCUUUCAGUAAGUCUUCUUCUUUAGUAAGAAGAGUACUGCCUAAAGCAAUCUGAGUUAAAGUGUCUAUAUGGGAACCGGCCAUAAACUCCUUUUCUGGUGUAGAUCCCCUUCCUUGUGAAUCAGUUUCCCGGGUACAAGGAUUGAGUGCUCCUAAUGUCUUUUCUCUCUUUCGGUCUAGAUCGUCUCUUUUUCUAUGGAGACCUUUUCAAGUCAUCCAUUUUCUUUGGUAUGGAUUCAAAGUAAUCUCUCACGCUGGUGCAGGGAGUUCUGCUUGUGCUCUUUCUUUUUGGUCCGGGCCAGGCAGUCCAUAUGUCUUUUGGUCUUGAUCUGAGCACUCGUCUAACUACUAAGAAAGCUCGAGGGACCUUUAAUUCUGAGUUAUUGGCUACCGGUCUUACUUCUCUUGGUCAGUUCUAAAGGUCUAAGGGGAAGACCUUUUCAUACUCUUCAACUCUCGGUGAUUUCUUCCUUUCUCUAUCGAAAGAGAGUGAGUGCAAACCUUAAGGGGUCGUUAGCGAGAAAUGAAUCAGGCAUCGGUCGUUCUAGCGGUAAGAGUCCUUCGGAUGUUGAAUGGUCUGGUCAACUCGUUCCGUUCCUGUGUAGAAAGGAAGUAACCCGUGGGUAUCUUCUAUUGAUUAACGAACUGGGAAUCAUAGCUCGCUCUUCCUUUGCUUUGGAUCUUCGGUAACCACCCUUCUUCUGAAGUAACCCGUGGGUCUUCUAUUGAUUAACGAACUGGGAAUCAUAGCUCGCUCUUCCUUUUCUUUGGAUCUUCUGUUACCACCCUUCUUCAUAGAAAAAGAGAGCUUAGAACCUCGUCUAUUACGACGGUACGAAGAAAUCAAUGGCACUGGGGGAAACUCAGUCCAGAGAAGAAAAUGUCAAUUAGGAACGAGUAGUCAGACGCAGACCAGCACAUGUGGGCGCCACAGUUGUCUUCCUCCAUAUGAUAUCACGCAAGAGGCGAAAGAAUCCCUUUACCUUUUUUACAAAAAAAGAACGCGGUCGAUCGGAGUGCCCUUCCUUCUUUUUGAGGCUUUUAGGCCUCCGAUCAAUCAGGGGUUGACAUGAGACCGGAAUUUGGGGGGAAUCCAUUCUUUGCCCUACUGUCUGUGGUAAGUUAGUUUGCUUUGCCUUCUCGCUCGAAUUCUUUUCAAUGUAAUUGAAUUCAAUAGUAUGACUUCUAUUUCAUUGGGAACUUGAUGAGUCGAUCCGCCUACACGUCUUGCUUUUACUGCUAUAUCGGGUCUUACUCCACGUAUUGCUUAUGGGAACUUGAUGAGUCGAUCCGCCUAUGCGUCUUGCUUUUACUGCUAUAUCAGGUCUUACUCCACGUAUUGCUUGACGUAAAAGAGAUAGUGGAUUUCUUGCUGUCUUUUGUUGAAUCGCUCGAUAGGGAAUUUGAUAAGCCAGUAUCUGUGGUAAGUUCCAAUGCUUGAUAAAGUAAAGUAAAGAAAGGGCUUUCUAUAAAGAGUAAGUCAGUCCCCUUGGUUCCUUAGCUCUUUACACAGAAUCUCCCAGUUUGCUAAACAAUGACAUCUCUCCUUAUAUCAAGAAUGUGCAUCCCGUUAUGGAUGAUGCAUCUUCUCGGUUUGGUGAAGUGUUCUGUAGCGGAGUCGCCGCCAUACCUACCGGGGCGGGUAAGCUACGAGUGUUCAUCAUAGGUAACUAUGUGAAGCAGAGGCUGUUGAAGCCUUAUCACGACUGGGCGAUUUCAGUUUUGCGUCGCUUAGAUUGUGAUGGUACUUACAAUCAAACAAAACCCCCUUGAGCGGGUUGGUCCGCUUUCCAAUUUCUUCUUCUCUUUUUCUAUAUUUCUAUGUCGAGGGAAUCGGAGCAGAGAAGGUUUUUCUCCCUAAAAAAAGCCUCUUUCCGUUGCUCGACUCGAAGCAAGCACGAGCUCUAACUUAAAGUAGGUCUAGAACGACUGAGAUUAAGUAGUUUUCUAUUUUAUCUCCAGGCUAUGAAAGAUCUGGGAUUUCGUUCCAGGAAAUCUGUAUAUUGUUUUAACAUAUCUAAUAGGGAGAGGAGGAGACAAACACAAAGGUAUGGCGAGAUCACAUCUCCCGUUACUAUAGUAGAGCCUAUACGGGGAAUACGAUAAAGUGAUGCCGACAAUUCAAUAACUAAUCAAGAAAGUAACUCACUGAACUGAACCAGCUCCCACUAAACAAAACAAGCUUAAAAUGGGGCUUAUUCUUGAACAAACCUUACUGUAGAAAAAAGGAGAUUUUCUUUGUCGGCUUGACUAAUCUUUCUUUUUCUUAUACUCCCCUUUGAGAAGAGAAGGAAUAGAAAUUGAGAAAGAGAUAUUCGUUGGCCGUUAAAUGACCACCUAUGAACCUUUUUAAUAAGCUUUUCCUCGUGGGAAUUACAAGAAUAAAGAAUCAUCCUUCUCGUAUACAUUUCAUAGACCUCCCUAUUAUCCUACUAAUAAAGAAACUAAAGCACUAAUGGGUUUCUGAUGAAAAUAAGGAAUAAGGAAGUGGAGAGUGAAGCGAUAGAAAAUGGUCCAUAGUGAGAUACUCAAGCAAAGCAAGAGAGAAGAUGUCCGGCCGAGAGGAAGUCGUAGCUGGAGUUAAAUGUUGAAUGUUCUAAGAAAUUAAUUGUUCGUGGGAUGGAUCAACGUUAAACCUUGGGCCAUAGAUAUUCUUUAAAGGACAACACAACCCAUUGUUGGUAAUGAUAGUAAGUAGGGAGAAGAGAAGAAUUCAAACUAACCAACUCGGAAUCUGCCUCCGAUCGAAGAGUUCUCCUAUUCUAUUAUUUAUUCCCGCCUGCCCUCUUUCUUUUGUCUGUCUGAUAAGAAGUUAUUAGUGAAUCUCCGCCCUUUCCUUCGGUUCGUGAGAAUAUUCUAUAUUCUCAACCAAAGAACAAAGAAGGGUUCAGAAGUUUGAGUUCUUAAUGAAGGGUUUCGGUUCGUGAGAAUAUAGAAUAUUCUCAACCAAAGAACAAAAAGGGAUCAGAAGUUUGAGUUCUACCGGUUUUCCUGCCAUAAGCCAAGGAAUAAGUUCUCUCAAAGUAAAUCAAUAACGCGAGGUGGCAUCUUUGCUUUCCGAUAUGAAUGCUUACUCCUUUUCCUAGUUGUGACGACGUAAACAUUAGAGGAUCACUCUGUUGUUACCACCAAAAGUAAAAAAUAGACCUCAGUGAAAGAUUCUUAGUCAGUCGAACUCUCGAGAAUAUCCUAAUAACUUAGUGAGAAAUGUCAAUUGCGAGCUCUAGAAGAUGUCCCCGAUCUUGAAUUCCUUUAUUUGAUGGUAAGGAAAAACCAAAAAGAAAGACCCGUGCCGUCUCAGCUUACUAUUGAUUGGCUUGAGGUGGAAUGUUUGCAAAUAACCUGAAAUUUUUGAAUUUCAUUUAAACUUUUAUCUCUUCUGUCACAGAUCAGCUGUUGAUCUAAGACAUAUCUUUCAAUGUCUCCAAGUCUUCUUUCCGAUCGAAACAAAGAGGCCGGCUCUAACGCUCUCACCCCCAAUCCCUUGAUCCCCGGCCCAAUAACGAACCACCAAUAUAAUUCGACCACCUCUGCUGCAUUUCCAUAUCCAAUGCCGGGAGCUAGGCUCGAGCUUGCCAAAAAACCUCAGGGAUAAAAGAGCCAAUCAAUCCAAUGAUCCCCAUCUUAUAAAAAAAGAAAAGGCAAUCCCCGCCUUCUCUUUAGCCCUCUGAACGAAGUAGCUAAUGAGCUACAUAUGAUCCGAUUCGUAGUUUCUCUUCGCAAAAGAACACCAACUGGUGAAGUGGAUACCAUCUCAUUCAGUCAAUCAAUCCCAUAUUUCUUCAGGUCAAAUGCAAGGAAUUGCUAUAGAAGGCGAAAGGGCACCAAAUAGUUCCCUCGUUUCGGUGUCAGCCAUCUUUCCUAUUUCAUCGGUCCCACCAACUAUGAAUUGCUAUAAAAGGCGAAAGGGAACCAAAUAGUUCCCUCGUUUCGGUGUCAGCCAUCUUUCCUAUUUCAUCAGCCCCACCAACUACUCAAUCUCUUUGUUCCCCCUUAUUGAUCCCAUGGCUACAGAGCCUAUCCGUUCAUCAUUUCCAUUAGUAAGGGGAACCAGACCCGAACUCUCCAUCUUUAGCUAAGGUCUUUUGAAAAACUUCACUUCAUUUGUUCCAAUGCGUAAGAAGCUUGAAAGCGAUAACUCCACUAGUUUUGCCCCUAGUACCUGUCCCUAUAUUUGAAUCUCCAUCAUUGACAAAACCAGGAUCAAAUGCGACGUCCAUCGACCGGAUAAUACCUCCAUAUCCAAAUCAAUCUGUCCAGCUUCUGCUCCCCAUUAUCAGUAACAGAAGGAGCAUCUCAACCAACCUCGAAUCCUUCUUUUUUUCCUCCCGACCAAAUCUGUCAUGAUUCUUCAGAGUGUCGUGAAAUCACGAAUCAUCUUAUAUAUAUAUAUAAAUUUCUUUCGUUAUAUUCUAAGGUAGAGCCAGUUGAGGUCCAUACAACGAAUGAAGUGUAAUUUUUCCGUUGACUUCAUAUCUUCCUUGUGUAUUUUUCUUUUUCCACGGGAUCACCAUUCUCCUAGAGCUCGAGCAUGAAACUUGAUUACACAGAUUCGGUUCGGUCGCAGGAGCGAAGCCACGACCACCUCUUGACGUAAGGCACGACGUAGUGGAGGAGCACUUUUAAGACGUACCCUACAGCAUCAGGUCACAGGAGUGAAGCCACGACCACCUCUUGACGUAAGGUACGACGUAGUGGAGGAGCACUUUUAAGACGUACCCUAGAACAUCUAGUCUUUAGACAAGUUUUUAUUCUAUUGGAGACGGCGGAUGAGGUGCAAAAGGACAAAUGGCAUUACCAAGAACCAGAUAUGGUGUGAUUGAAUCUCGACACGGAGGAGGCAUCAAAGAUGAUUGAAAUAGGGAUUUUUCUAUUUAGUUAACACAUUUUGUCAUUGAGUAUUAAAUUCUUAGUGUACCAUAGGCGGUAAUCUGGCUUUAAUCGAUUCCCUUCUUAUAGUUAAAGAUUUCAGUCUGGAAACAAAAACAUCAGUAAGGUGUUUUCGUUCGGAUAUAAACAUGGCAAUCUACGUAUGUGAAGUCUCGAUGAAGCUGUCCAAGUGUAGAUCCAACGCACUACUCAAGUAGGCUUUCCUACUGCCAUUGAGAAAGAAAUGCCCUUGACGCAUUUCCACUUGCUUCAAGCCUUUCUUUCUAGUUGCUAUAUUCCAGUAGUGAUUCGAUCCCUUGACGCAUUUCCACUUGCUUCGAGCUUUUCUUUCUAGUUUCUAUAUUCCAGUAGUAAUUCUAGAAGGAAUUCAUGAGUGACUGACUAUACUAUGGAUGUACACCUCUUCCUUAUGGAUAGAUGGUGCCACCGCACUGUAAAAAAUUCUCUGUUUACGAUUCUAUCAAAUACGAAUUUUCUUUAUCAACAUGGUAGCAAGAAGAGAGACAGCGGAUGUACUUGAAGAGAAAGUGGAGCUUCACCAGGCCUUUAGUGAUUAUUAUUAAGUCUUGUCUAAGCCCCAAUCGGGUAAGCGAACUGUCUUACGACAAGAAGUAGUCAUGGGAAGGGUUACCCAUAGAAUAUAGAAUCGGUAGUAGCCCGGGUUCGAGCAUUAGAAAGGAGUGCAAAUAAGGGCCAAGCAGAGGCUUCAUCUAGUAUCCCCAAAAGCAAGCAAAGAAUCAGUUUAUUCGUGAAAAUAUGGGAUGGGAGUUGCCCGAAUCAAAUACGAAACAACAUAUUUUGAGAUUAUUAACGCUUUGAAACUUAACUUCUCCGCAGGGAUCUGAUUGAACCGGUCUAGAAAAGGUCAUUGCUGAACAAAGCUCCUAAGGUCCCCAUUCGGGGAUUUCCCCGUAAAAUCUAAGUCCUUUCUUUACACAGAGUGAAGCAUCCGGCAAUGCUUCAACAAGAGCCAAAGCUACCCGGUCUUGGGAAGAAGAAAAUCGAAUAGAGGAAGAAGUGGUCGUGUAACUGGCUCGCUUGAGCUUUGGUACGCAAAUAGUUUACUAAUAGGAUUGAAAGAUUAUUUUACGGAUAUCCCAGGGGCGUAGCGGGUUCGAAAGGACCAGGAAGCAGAUGUCUAUUCAAUAGAAGAAGUUGUUCGACCUUUCUUUCAUUUAGUUUGAACCACCAGAAACAAAAGGAAAAUCAGGCUAGGAGAUGACUCGUAAUCGAUCCGGCUGUUGGACCCUGGACCCACCCGGCCCGUAUAUUUCAUAAGAUGUGUUUCAUUCGGGAGGAUGAACUAGACUUUUUUCAUCGCCCCACCCAAGGCAGAUCGAACAAAAGAUCUUCCCACUAAUGCUUUCAUUCUCCCGGCUAUGAUACUGGUAAAGAGCCCUCUUCCUUCUCUUCGACACGGACACACUAAGUAGUCAUGGGAAAGAUAAAUGUCAUCUGUGUGAAGGAUAUUGAGAUAGUUUCUUCCUUCUCUAUGCGUGGGUUAGCCCUUGAUCGGAUAAUUAUUCUUAUUUAAAAAUAAAAUAAUAGAGUUCUUUUCACCUUAACAACUAUGUUUUUUCUAACAAAUCGAAUGGUGAUUCCCCCUACUAUCUACAACUCGAGAUGCGACAAGAGUGCUUAUUCCCCAAAAAAAAAGAUUCAUUCCCCUUCUCUUACCGACGAUCGAUAAUUCUUUCUAACAGCUCCAUCUGCCUAUCUAAGAACGACGCCCUUCUUGCAAAAGCUCUUCUUGUUGCUAACACUGUUCCAGGGAUCUUUAAUCCUUUCCUUCUUCCUAGGACAGUAAGAAUAGAAUUACCUGAAUGAUAUCAGUCAGAGCGUAUUCCCUAACAGCCUCUUUUCUUCUCAAGCACUUGCUAUUUCAUCUUCUCUUAGACAGGCUAUCUUCCGAUUCAAUGCCAUCAAAAUGUACCCAGCAGCCUACUUUUCCUUAUUAGUUAAGACAACCCUAGCUAGAUUCUCAAGCUCUGAUAAACCCACAACAAGAACAACCUUUAUUUUAUGCCGUGCCGAAAGGACUAAGAGCUCUUAUUCCGCAAUCUUUAGCACAUAGCAGUCUACGCAGUACUCAUUCCUGGCGGUUCCGCUAAUCUUCCUAUAAAUUCCAUUCCUAAAAACCCGGCAAUCGUAGACUGCUUUGGUUAAUCUAGUCUUGAUAAAUGAAAGGCACCCACUCUUAUUUCACACAGUAAAAGAAAAAGGCCGUCUUCUCAAAAUCCGUACCUGUACCAAAGAGACCAGACCUUGGGAAGGCAUCACAUAUGCUAGAAGGCUUAACAGUCCUCCUUAAUAGUAGCCCAGAUCUGUUUUGUGCUCGGCUUGACGCUAUUUCAGAUGUCCAUUCAAAAAGAGCUAUUGGGGGCAGCGCUACUAAUUCGUAUUCGUCUUUUAAGACAGGAGCUCCUAAGCAAACUUGGAAAACAAGGAGUGGCUCCCGUCCCUAAACAAAGCACCAAUAAGCUUUUGCCUUCCUUUUAACAUAAAAUAUUCGGAGAGAGGAAUCGGCAUAAUAAAGUACGAAAAUUUACUGAAGAAGUGCAGGAAAUAUUCUUAGAAGAGCUUCUUCGAAAUUCCGUUAUCUUUUUUAAGAUAGAUAGCCGAAUCACUAACAAAGGAAUUUUCUUUCGGGAUGUUGACAACGUCAAAACAAAAAGAGAAGUUUUUAGUGAAUCGUCAUUUUCUCACGAUUGGGUGGGUGUGAAGUGUACUGAGGUUAAGGUACAAUACCGAGCUCGAGAUGUUAGAAGGUGCAAAAUCAAUGGGUGUAGGAGCUACUAUUGAAUCCAGUCUUAGAUGGUUGGAAGACAGAAGCAAUAACAUGAUAGGAAUAGCAGGUUUAAUAGAGAUGACAUCACAAUAGGAUGAAGACGAGCUUCAUAUAUGCUUUCACAUGGAAAUGGGAUAAUGUUAAAAUACCUUUGAAAGGCAACUAGUGAGAGGGAUUACUUGCUAACGUAUCCCUAAGAGCAUAUCGUCUAUGUCCAGGAGUUAGUGCAUUGGAUUCAUGGGCAACUGCAUCUAGUAGAGUUGACUUAACACCAAGCAAAUCUCCUUUCUAGUCUAGGACUUAUAGCUUUGGAAAUUUAAUUAGUCCUGCAACUCCCCUAGCUUCACAUGAAUGCACAGAGAAGGCCCUUGCUCAGGUUCUUUGACAUCGACUCGGUUGCUAGGAAGAAUGCGGGCUUAGAGCCAAUAGAGCUAGUGUUCCUUCAUCACCCUCUAGCGUACCGAACAUGUGAAAAGCAUCAUUUAAGAUGCACGGACAAAAGUAGCUGCUUAGGUUGCAUAUAUAAGAAUAGGAAUCGAAUCCACAACUAUUGAUAUUGAAUCCGCUGUUCUCACCUUAAAAGCUGGGUAAGCCAAGGGGGGGACUUUGAACUGUUAAGAGGUGCCUAGCGCUUUCAUCAAUAUGAAAGAGGAAGCUUCUGGGCUGUACCUGCAUAACUAGGGAUUGGAGGAAGUUGAGGGUAAGCCAAGGGGGACAUUGAACUGUUAAGAGGUGCCUAGCACUUUCAUCAAUAUGAAAGAGGAAGCUUUUGGGCUGUACCUGUACAACUAGGCAUUGGGGGACGUUGAAUAUUAAACUAAACGAAGAUGACGCUGUCCAAUUGGCCAAAAGGAAGAUCGACAUGAGAAGCCGAUGUUCUUGCUACAGAAUCCCAUGCAGAUUUCUUAACUGUUUUGUUAGGCAUUGGCAUGAGCAAGAAAGCAGACAAGAGGAAAUCAAAAGAACGGGGAUUCGAAUCGCCUAAUUUUCCCCCUUCUUGUUUGCAAGAAAAAAAAGUAACUGAACUAAAUAGUAAACAGGAGGCAUAGUAGAAGAAAUAGAAAGAUGCCCAUCCCAUUGUAUUUGGAUUUGGAAAGAAAGAAGAAGAUAUGCUCUUUAUUCUUUUAUAGAAUCUUUUCUUGAAGUUAAGUUAAUGCGAAAAUGGAAAAUUGCGUAUAGUAUAUAAGAUAGGUAUCCGCUCGGGCAUUUUAGGAAGAAAACUAUUUGUAAGAUCCGGUGUUAGUGAGAGAGUUGGGAUGGAGCUUUCACUAAUACUAAUAGAAGAAUUUUUAGUAAAGGCAGGAAAGAGCUAGGUCUUAUAUAGAAGAAAGGGUUUUUUUGCUUUUCGACAGGAGAUGAUACAUAAGCGCUCUUGGUCUUCUAUCUGCAUACGCUGCUCUUAGCCUUGUUAGAAUCCAAUGUUAGAAGGAAGAAUUCAAUAGGCAUCCCAAUAUCCGUUUUCUUAGAUAGAUAAGAGAUCAGCUAAAGUAAUGGUCAUACCCCUCCUCCCCCUCCGUUUGAGGAAGAUAUCUCAGGUAUUCGCCUACGAGGUCUUCACAUAAUAGAUUGAAAAAAUCCUUAUUAGGAAGAAAACUUGGACAAAUCCCCGGUCUUAUAGAAGUAGCUACCAAGUCUAGACACCUGAUGCAUGUGAGGGAAAGGGAAGGAAGUCUCUUUGGCACGUAUGAGUAGCUGUCACGAAUCGAAGUUUCAAAAGUCAAAAGAGAGAUUUUUCAUCAAGAAAAAGGUUGGUUGAGGCACGGGAUGAUAGGGUGGGUGGCCGACUUUCAGUACUUUCUGCCAACUCGAUUUCAAUACUAAGUAAUCUCCUCAUCGCAUAAGUAAGAAAGUUCACCUACGGAGGGUAAAGAGAGGGGCGGACGAGAGUUCUAAUAAUUCUCUUUCAUCCAUACAAGUCUGCGAGCGUCCCAUCUUUUUCUUACUUGAAUGAAGAAAGACAGAACCCCUCUUUUCAGCCACAUCUUCAAGUUCGCUUUCCACUUCCGAAUACCAAAGAGCGAUUAAGAGAAGAGCAGUACGUAGGACUUAAAAAGAGGGUUCCUUCCUCUCUUCACUCUCCGAAUUACGAUCCUCACCUUUUUGGUGCCAAAGGCCUACCUUUCCACUUUACAGGAAGUUCUAAAGGAAGAGAAAUGAAAGUCACCUUUCCUGCCAACCUCCUGGCUUUAUUCUUAUACUGAUCAAGCUGCACUAUUUUCUAUUCUAAUAGAUUCCACUUCGCUUGCUUGCACGACUUCCUCUUUGCUUAAAAAAAAGGGGGCAAGUCAAGUAAGUAAGCAGUGAUCUGAACCAAAGCACAAGCUUUGAAAUAGAAAGAAAGAUAGAAGGAAAGCAAGAAAGAACUAUCUGACUUCGCUAUCUUUCUAUGAGCUCCUAGGAAAGAGAUCCUACUCCCAAAGAAAGGAAGCUUAUGAAUAGUCAUUAAGAGAGGUGACGAUGACCCUCUUUUGCUUUUUCAAGCUAUGAAUGUAGAGAUCAGGUUGAAGAAUGAAAGGGAUGAAGUUGCAUAAAGAUUCUUGAACCUAGAACUCGGGAGGUUGUGCUCGACCGAAAGGGUAAGGGCAAGAAUAAAUUGAUGGACGUAGUUCAGGAUCGAUGUAAUUGCGACAACUAAGUAGAGGAUGAGAAGAUGUGAGACCGCCCAAAGGUGGUUCUAUAUAGCUCUUAUGCUUUUACGACUCGUACUAUUUUAUUAUAAACUUUGUGAAAUCGUUCUUUACUCGCUACAAAUAUUUUGCUCUAGCUCUCUAGUUCUCUUAGCUAUCGUUACAUUUUAUUACUUGUGGAAAGUGGAAAGGCAGAAGCGUCGGCUAGUCAGUCACGAACUACUUGACUUCCUUAUGAUGAUUCAGUGUUAAUGACCUCAUUCAAUCUUUUUUUUGAGACUUCGCUAUGGUGGGCUAGAUGGAUAGCUGACAAUAGAUAGGAAAAGAUGUAGAGGUGUGUGCCACACUCACGAGGGUUCUGAGAAAUUGACGAAGGAGCGAGUUAAAUGAGAGGCUAGAGUUAGAGGCGAGACAAUGAGCUUCUCAGUUAAUGAAGAGCUUCCCUUGAUGUUAGCAGAACUAUCUAUUUGAAUUAUUAAGAAAGCGGCCCUCCAUUCCUUCUUUGAGGAGUAGAUUGAAGGGCUCAUCGCUUCUCCUACUGCUGCUACCAGCCCCGUCCCACAACCGACCGAUCUGCUGCCUAAACUUUAGAAAGAUCAUUUUUCUUCAACAUUUCUUUUUUUUUUUCUAGAAGUAGGGAAAGUAAGACAAGAGUGAAUGAAGUCCCCCACGGAGCGGUAAGGAGAUCGAUGACUUUUUAAUCUUCCUCUUUAUGCAUGAGAUUACAGACAUAUAGUGAAUGGACGAGUCCCUUCAACUUCGAAGAAGCUUUCUCUGUACUUCCCUUCGUAGGGGAGGUAGGAAAUAGAAAGAGAUUAGAUAACAAUAGAGCAAAUUCAGAUCCAACCAGCAAGGCAUACGGUCUUGGACACUUAACCAAGCUCUUGAGCGGUGUCCACCAUCACCUUAUUUUGCUCUCCUUAGCUUCCUUCUUGGGCGUGGUGAAGCGAGGGGUCAGUGAAAUCGACUCCGAUCAGUGCAGUUAGAUAGUUAGAGUUAGUAGUUUCUUCAACAUUUCUAAAACGAAAUGUUUCUCUAAGAGUUAGGGAGCGAGUGGAAUAAAUAAGUUUAAUACGCUGGAUAAGAAGCGUAGUAUACGAAGCGAUCACUAGAGCGAAGGAGUGUAAUAGGCAGAAAGGAUUACGGGAGCUUUGAGAACGAGUGGAAUACCUGAAACAAGAGAGGGUAGGUAGAGAACUUUCGCCUUUUAAGCUUUGCUUUCUCGAUACACUACUAUCUUACUAAAAAAAAAAGAACUUCUGAGUUAAGAGAAAGAAAAUAGACACACCCUUACACAGCCUUAUUUAAUAAUAAUAUAAAAGGCCUUCUUCUUUUUCUUUAUUUAUUUUAUUUUAUCAUAUUUUGCCAUCUAUAUCUUAUAUAGACUUUUAGCGUAUAAUAAUUACCAAUACGAGGACUAUCGACAAUGCUUUCAACUUAUAAUAGAAGGGUCUCCUCUUCCUUCAUUUCGUAAGCUUGCUAGCUUACCGGCUGAACCAUCAUCAUCUGCUUGCUUGGUCACUUUCGUGAUAAGGCGCUUAAAAGGAUUCUGGAUUCUAUAUAUUUUGGGAACUAAAAGAGUGGCUGGUUGAUACUUUUGUGAUAAGGAGCUUAAAAGGAUUUUGGAUUCAAUAUAUUUUGGGAACUAAAAGAGUGGCUGGUUGAAGGGAAGCCAGAAAAUCCAGGGAAUCGAUGUCCCCCAAACCAAUAGACUUCCAGAGAAGAGGAGUCUUGUCGCCAUUAAAACCCUUCUCGGAAACCGAGGAAAUAUCCUACACAAUUCCGAUACUGGGUAGGAUUCACCAGCCACUAGACAUAGCACAUAUGCCAACAGUAGUAUGAAUGGGACAGGAACUAUUCGACCUCUUUCAGGAAAGGGCCUUACAUACGGGGAAACUGGGUGAUCCCGGUGACAGAAGUAAAGAAAGCUUUCGCCUACGAGCAUAUGUACGAAGAAAGGAGUCUCGUACAAAGGGUUGGAAAGAAGGCUUUUACCUUAUUUCAGGUGGGUUAGUGCGUAUCUGUUCGGGCGGAGGCGGACAAUGAAAAGACAGAAAGGAGCGAAUGAUGCCAACCAACUCGACAAAGACAUUCAGAUAUGAAAAAGAUAAAGAAAGACGUGUUAAGCUUGUGUUUUCCCAGCCGACUCGCACACGACCGUCUUUUUUUCGAUUGAAGAGUCGGACUCCCUGACAUUGCCUUUGCAUCGCAAGGAGGAAGAAGGGUCUAUGCCGAAAGAUAAAAGGGUGCUGCAUGUAUAAGUCCAAAAGAGCUAUGAUGACUCUCGAAAUGGAAUUGGAAGAGCAAGACGGGCUAGGGCUGGCACAUUAACAGGAUAUUCAAUUUGUGAUAACGAUGGCGGAUAAACCAGAUAAUAAUCUUACUUGUCCCCAACGCAAAAGUACUGGGAAUUUUCGGGGACUAGCCCACUUCCACUCUUUUAUUUUUAUUUUUUUGAAAAACAAGGAGGAUUAAGAAGGCCAUCAUUAAGGAAAAAAGUCAAUAUCUUUGGUUAAAGCAAAUCCCAAAAUAGCAUAACUUAAUAAUUGUUUUGCCAAUGAAUGAUUUCUCGCAAAAGAAUUAAGCAACUGAAAACAUUUCUGAUACCGGAAGCAGCUCCCGCUGAAGCAAUUGUAGCAGCUCCUGCGUCGAUUAAUUUUGAACCUUAUAAUCUUACAUAAUAUUAAAGAACGUUUAAAGAAAGUUAACUCUUUAUUUGUUUGUCUCGCCCUUCUUUCUUUUCUUCGAUUUUAGAUGGUAAAAAGGAGAAUGGAAUUUCCGAUCUUGUAUCCAAAGUGCGGUACACUGAACAACAACCCAAACUCCCUACCCUCAUAAAAAAAGUUACCCCCUUUGGUUGAUUAGUUAGUUUUCAAGAUGGGGAAGUUCUUCUGGAAAUCUUAGGCAUAACUAAUCGAUUAUUUGUCCUGAUCGAAACAACCUAGGAAAGGUUGUCAGCCUACAUAAACAACUUCUCAUACCAAGGGAAGAAGGUAUCAGAUCCCUGUAGUUCGAGCCCUUUUGUUUUCCCAUUUCCUUUACGUGGAAUGAUUUCCAAUGAGUAAAGUAGUCUGGGGGAAAGAUAAGUCCUACCCACUAUCCUUUACCCAAAAAAAGGGGUCCAGAAAAGUGUGGCUGAUUUGUUCUUUUACCAUGUCAGCCACACUCUCAUUUAGUCGAUCUUGAUAGUCCGAAUACGAGAAGUGUCUUAAUCUAGACACUCUCCAAGUUGAUAGGAUCCAAAUGAAAAAAGGAAAUACAAUGGUAGGAUUUGCCAUCUUUCUUAUUAAAUAAUUAAAAACCAAUUGAUCGGGAAAGGUGUUGUUCAUGGUGGUAAGCGAGGGGGGGAUUUAGUAAAGGGAUAAUGCCGCUUUUUACUAAAAAAGUCCCGAGUUGGUAAUUAGAGUUAGAAGCUUCACAGCUUCCUCCACUCACCUCCACGGGCGAAUAUAGUCUACUAGACUCUUUCUUGGCUACUCUAGUAGACUAUUUUCUAGGUCAUUCGGAAAGGCUCCGUAUAGUUUUGGGAUGUAACGUUGUGGUUGUUCCGUCUCCUUUCAGUAGAGUAACUUCGUACCUAUCCUUACCGAGAAAAUUGAGUUCCAGAGGCAUCUUCCAUUCAUAUCAAUUUAGGUUUUUCCGCACCAUAUUUUGAUCAGCCUCUUCUUCGAUCCGGAAUUCCCAGCAAAUCCUUGACUCCUCGAAUACAAUGGAAUUUCAAACCUGGCGAAUCUUUCACUCUACCUACUGUUAUUAAGACCAUAGAAUGUUCCUGCAAAUUAUGACCUUCUCCUGGAAUGUGAGCAAAUAUAUCAUGUGGAUUGCUCAAUCGUACUUUUGCUAUCUUACAUGGAGCUGAAUUAUGUUUUUUGGUGUUCUCGUUGAAACACGCGGGCAUACUCCUUGCUUUUGGGUACAUUGAUCCAUAGCUCGAGUACGGUCUGUGCGCCGUUUUUCUUCUCUACCAUGACGAAUCAAUUGAUUUAAUGAAGGCAUCGCUCUUUCCUUUGUCCUUCCCCCCAAUUUUUUCCCUCUCAAAAGUGGUUACUCCCGAUCCGAAGCACCCCUUUUCCAUUCAUAGAGAGAUCCAUUUGUCAAAAUCAAUAAAAAGGCCAUCAUGGACCAAGAUCCAAACGGAUCAAUCUUGUUAGGAGGUACUGCCCAAGGAAAGGAAAAGGUUACUUCCCGAUAAGAAAUAAUAAAUAAACUGGACACAAGACAAAAUCUUAUAUCAAAAUGACUUUAGGCAUCACCGGAAGGAUCGAAACCACAUUCGUAGGCCGACAAUUUUUCUGGAUAGGUCAAACUAUUGGAAGAAAAUAGAAAAGGAAGACCGAGUGGGAGCAAAGAAACUAGCGGACUGAUCACUAAAUAGAUAAAAAUAGGUCCAAAUUCUGACAUCACCACAGAAAACUUGGUUCUUUCGCUCCUUGCUAGCGGAGCAGCAUACCGGAAGAAAUUGGAAGAUCAAUGAUGGAAUGAAGAACGCAAUUUUACAACAGCAACACAACAAAAAAGCAGAAGAAAUUGGAAGAUCGACGACGGAACGAAGAACGCAUAACCGCCAUAUUCUCAAUCAGCUUACAGAAUUAAAAGUUUUUUCUCUUAGAGAGGCAUUUUCCUCGCUUAGAAAAGCGUUCCUUCUCUAAAGAGAUUUCCUUAACUCUCGUAACUCUAGGCGAUGUUGCAUUUCCAAUCGCGCUUGGCGCUUUAAGUUUAUAAAGCCACGAAAAUGAUGCGCUUGAGUUCCUUUUAGAUCUUGAUAAAAAGGGGAAUCAUGCCUCUCGACACAUAGAAUUUGUAAGACCUAGGCGAUGUUGCAUUUCCAAUCGCGCUUGGCGCUUUAAGUUUAUAAAGCCACGAAAAUGAUGCGCUUGAGUUCCUUUUAGAUCUUGAUAAAAAGGGGAAUCAUGCCACUCGACACAUAGAAUUUGUAAGACUCUGCGUAGAGUAGGGUGAUUGAAUUCUAAGGGUUCAAGGUGCACCCUCAGUAUGGAAUCCAGGUCUUGUGGAUCAAUGAAGAAUUGUGGAUCCUCCCGACCAUAAAAAAGGAGUUGAUAGAGGGAGGAAAUCUGCUCUCGAGUCGCAAAACACAAUUCCGUAUUGAGGAAGUCCCGCACCAUAACCUCGUACUCCUUGGGUGAGAGUCCCUGGGUUAGAGUUGAUAGAGGGAGGAAAUUUUCUCUCGAGACACAAAACACAAUUCCAUAUUGAGGAAGUCCAGUACCAUGACUUUGUACUCCCUGGGUGAGAGUCCCUGGGUUUGUAGGCGCUAUCGUACGAAUUCCACAAAUUCUGGAUCCUUAUCCGGUAGAUUCAUAUAGUGGUAUAGUAGCUGCAGCUCGGAUGGGAGAAUACCUAAUCGGGAAUGAAGUAAAAUAGCAUCAAACAAGUUAGUAUAGAUCCUAUAUCCAAAAGUAACCAAGCAAUAAAGACAUAUGAACCAUUUCAGAAUAGAAAGAGCCCGCUGUAACUUGGGCCUUGUUAUAUAGUAGAAAAAUAGUUUCACUUCUAAAUCCAAAGGGAGAUAGAACCUCAUAAGAAUGAGGAAAAGGCAUAACCAGAAGAAAUAAGUGAAUUUAUCCAGUUGAGGCAUUCUUGAUUGAUUUUUUCACUUCUAAUUCCAAAGGGAGAUAGAACCUAAUAAGAAUGAGGAAAAGGCAUGACCAGAAGAAUUGUCUGAAAUAAAUGAAUUUAUCCAGUUGAGGCAUUAUUGGUUGAUUGAGACAAAACGAUUCCCUCAAUACAGCUUAACUCCGUCAAGCCUGUACGAGUAGUGAAGAAGUAAGAGCACUUUGGUUUGUUGUUGACCAACGGAAAGCAUGGGAGAAAACAAGACGCACAAACAAAAAAGGGCUAAAAAAGGACGAAGUCAUUUCAUAUAUAAAAAGAGCAGUACACUGCACAAACAAAAGAGGAAGCUAGUCGAUCAUUCAACGGCAAGAAUCUACCCUAGGAUCCAACCUGCCAGCUUUCUUCUCUUAUGAUAUUUCGAAUAGUGAGAAAGUGAAAUAAUUGGGAAUAUAAUGGAGCGGACUAAUACUCUAUUCGACUAGAGGAAGAAUCUUUAUUAAACAGGAUGCCUCCCAAGUGACAUGGGGCUAACCGUCAUAUUCUCAAUCAGCUUUGCCUUGCUACGUACUUUCGUUUAGUAUUCCUUACAGCCAUUCUCCAAUCAUCCGAAAGCAGCAGCGAGGCGGACAUUGAUUUUGCAGAAAGGCUUGCUGCUUUGCAGGGUCGCUUGCCUAGUUCAUCGGUACUACGCUAUGAGAGGCUCAACAUCGGGUCCAAUGUAAAGAAAGCCUUGCGAAUGAUGGUGGCUCCAUACGGGUAGACAUAGGCCCUGAAACCUUAACAAAGACAAGACAAUUACAGGGAGGGCGUACGUGUUCUCGGGCGAGUGCAGACUCGGUUAGUAUACAAGAUCAUCAAUAUAGUAAUAGGAUGCAUCUGCUGAAAGCAAGACUCAAGUAACAACAAGCUUGACUGAAGCUCAGCCAUAGUUGGUUUUGGUCGUUGAAGCUUCGCCGUAGUGACAAAGAUUUCACAGUCCGAAGGCAGGCCGGCAAGAAGGAAUGUAAACAUAUCAGAUUGGGACACCGGUUCAUUGAUAGAUGCCAAGGAGUCACAAUUGUUCUUGAAUGUAUGAAGGUAUGCCGCCAUAAACUGAUUUCCUUUCUUCUCUCUUUCACUAUCAUGUUCCUCACUAACCCGAAAAGCUUUCUUUAAACCAUACUUUGGGGAGGGGAUCUUUGAACCUUGUUUGAGCUCCUCUUCCCCUUUCUAGACAAGAAAUGAGAAGGGGAAGGGGAACUCAUUUCUUUUCGUUUUCACUUACAUACGCGAAUCUAUGUCUAGCCUCGCUUGCAUUCAGUUAUCAAGGGGGAUGUCUACUCUUUCGUUUACAUACGCAAGCUCCAGAUUAGUCGCAAUCGCACUUAUGUGCAAUAUCCAACGCAUAUCAAAGCACUUAGAGGCCAAGCAUUAACAGAGUAACCUACAGAUUGGUGCCCGAUGACACAGUAAAGGUUGAACAGUCAACAACUUUUAGUGCGCCAGUCUUAAGUUCCUAUCAACCACUUUCCCAACAAGGCAGCCGCCAUGGUAUUGCGAUAUUGUAUUCACAACGACAGAUCUAUCCCAUUAGAAAAUCAUUGGAUUGAUCAGCAGGCAAGGAAGGUCAAACAUACCCGAAAUAUAUAAGACCAAACUCUUGUUAGUACUUGAAUUCCUACAUGUAGCGGCUUUGUUGUAAAUCAUGAAUCUUUCUGUUCACACACCUCUACACAUCCAUCACAAGGAUUUCGGAAGUAAUGAAACCUUACUAUUGGGUUAACGUUAACAUCAGUUAAUGCUAGUCUGAGAGAUCCAGCAGAUAGGGGGCCAACAAUCUUUUCCAUCAGGGUUGCCACAGUAAAAUAUACUAGAGAGGUGGAACUCUUAAAAAAAGCACCAAAAGACGAGGCUUUUCUCCCAAACAUAUCCUUUUUCACGAGUGGCUAUCGCGCCUAACCUUUGAAAUUGAGCUGCUUCUCUCUCUUGUUCCUUAUCUGGUUCCGGCCAGUGGCUUGGAAGCAAGCUACCCGCGCUAUAUAGAGGGAGAAGAGCAGCAGGAUUGAAGAAGCUGGUUCAAAGCUAAGGUAUCAAUCGGCUUUCUUUCCGUCUUCUUUUCUGCCAGGGGUAGAUGCCUUAGAUUAAGAAAGGGUUGGUAGGCCCUUAGUCCAUUCCCGAUGAUCCUCUCCUGGUCAAUUGCUUGGAUAUGCCUUAUAUUAAGAAAGGGUUGGUAGGCCCUUAGUCCAUUCCCGAUGAUCCUCUUCUGGUCAAUUGCUUGGGGUUUCGGACCAUUGCUCUCUUUUUUAGUCGUAUCAGGUGCAUCGGCUUUGCUUUGAAAUUGUCUUGUCCGUAUAGUCAGUAAUCGAUGUAGGAAAGAUUCUUAUAUGAUAAGUGGUCCAUUCCACCUUAAGAAGUAGCCCAUUCUACUAGGUUUCCUAUAGAGCGAGGGCCUCUUCUUCCUGCCUUUUCUGUAAGAGAAUUUCUUUCUUACCUGAGUAUGGGUCUACCUGCCUUAUUCUUAGAUGCCUUACCCUUCCUUAUCCUAAGUCUUGGUAUGCUUAGAUUCCGGUUCCCCAGCCGACUGUUGAAUCUCUUUUUGCCUUGGUGUGCAAGACAAUAUCGGCAUUGCUUUGACUUGCCUUGUCCGUAUAGUCAGUAAUCGAUGUAUGAAAGAUUCUUCUAUGAUAAGUGGUCCAUUCCACCUUAAGUAGUAGCCCAUUCUAUUAGGUUUCCUGUACAGCGAGGGCCUCUUCUUCCUGCCUUUUCUGUAAGAGACUUUCUUUCUUGCCUGAGUGUGGGUCUACCUGGCUUAUUCUUAGAUGCCUUACCCUUCCUUAUCUUGAGUCUUUGUAUGCUUAGAUUUCGGUUCCCCAGUCGACUGUUGAAUCUCUUUUUGCCUUGGUGUGCGAGACAACGGAGGGGCAGCUUAGCCUUCUUCUCUCUUGCGGAUCUAUUACAACUAGCAAUUUUAAUAAACAUUAUUAUAGAAAUUGGGGCUAAUUAAAUAGAAACCGGUCGUACCUAGCCUCGAUUCAUGUCGCAAACAUUGUCCAAUGAUUCAUGAAAACAUGAAAAGAGCAGAGUUGGCGCAUCUGAUCUUUCUUCUUCAGUGCCAGGCACAAAGAGCUAGCACUAAGAGCAGGGGAUGAAUCUUUAUCGACUUCCUUUUGAAUAACUUGGAUAACAUCUUUAUGGACAUCUGAGAGAGGUUCUUUCUACUAGUGCUCCUCCUCCUGCUAAUGCUAGUGCAACUUUGAAAGUAGUUCUUUCUACUAGUGCUCGACUUCCUGCUAAUGCUAGUGCAACUUUGAAAGUUGUUUAACCAAAGAUCUGAUACCUCUUUUAUUAUUAAUUUAUAAUUAGCAUUCUCUGAUCGGCCUAAUCUCGUAAUACAAGGCUAUGUCCCUGACCUGAGACUAAUGCAAUUAGUUCCUUCAUCUGCCUUCUCUUUCGACGUUCGCCAAUCGGAGAGGACAGUCGAUUGAGUCUGAACCUUAAUUUAAAGAUGGAAGGAAGACCCGGAUGGACUUAAUUAGGAGCAUAGGCAACCCCUUCGCGCGCGAGAUAGCAAUGACAAUAGAUACUGGUUGGGGUUGAGUGAUCCUCAGGGUUUAGGGCUCCUUCUCCUACUGCGACUACCUCUCUUCUCUUCUCUGUUAGAAAGGUAAAGGACCACCAUAGAGGCAAUUGCUUUCAUGAAUGCGGUAAACAAAUCAAUCAUUUCGUUACAUAUCGGGGACAGGGUUUAGGGUUCCUUCUCCUGUUGCUCUACCUCUCUAUUUUUUUAAAGCCCUGCUCACUUAUAGCCCUAUAACCAAGCAGGCAGGCGAGACAUCAGAGCAGCUCUAGAAUGGAGAUUGUAAUUCCAUUUAUUUAAAUUAAAAGGGGUGGAAUGUGAAACCAGCAAUCCCAUAUUGUGAAAUAAGAGCAGUGGCAUUUGCGGAAAUAGGUUUUGAGGAAGGGACUGAUUGAAAUAAAGAACUGAACUAAUCGACGAGGAGGAAUAAUAAGUAAAUCUUGGUCGGAAUCGAAAGCGGGGAAACUGACCACAUGAUUGGCAAUGGGCAUAAACCCUAAAACAAGAUUCACUGGUUCUUCAAUCCUCACGUAGACAUGAAGGGGAGUCCCCACAGAUAGGAUUCAGAUUUCUAAACAAAACAACAUUAUUUGUCGGCCUAUACGCUGACUCUGAAUCAAAGAUUUACUCAUUGCCAACAAAACAUACUCUAUUUACUAGUUUAAGUCGAUUCACUAAGCUAGUUAAAAUCCUUAUUACUUACGCAAUUCCACCAGUUUGUAAUACAUCCAACAUUCUCAAUAUUAAACGCUUUUGGCAUGCCAGAGCAAGACUUCUAUGUGGGAACCCCCCGGUAGAGGAGACCUAUCUAGUCAUAGGCUUCUAAUAAGAAAUUAGCUCAUUCAUUACUUGUGCAAUGACUUCCUUUUUCAUAGCGUCAAUGUACCUUUAUAUCUCCCUCGUCAAGUCGAGAUUCCCUAAGAGAAAGGGAUCAAAUCCGUAAUUGUAGUUUCUAUACGCCAAUCAAAUCUCGCUUCCAGUCAUCAUCAAUUCUGAGGAAAGAUUCUUGAAUAACAGGCUAAGAAUAGUCUUAUAAGUCCUUGUCUGUUAUGUAUGCUCCAGUAAGAAAGUCCCUUACUUCGGCUAGUAAGGAUUUUCAUUUUAGGUAAGCAAGCUGCAGCGCGAGUACCCUUUUUUUGACUUUUGCUGCAAUAGAGGAGAUUUCCAUUGGACUAGUUAAAAGACUUAGAUAACACGCCGGGUUUACAUACGAAAAAGUUCACGUAGAGAAAAGAGAUUAGACUAGUCAUUGCACUAGUACCGUCUACGAGCCUCCCGCUUUGGUACCAUCUCAUUUUUUACCAGCCGAGCCGCCCUGUCAACCCUUUACGGCGCUUGCUUCCUAGCUAGAACUCACACAGCGCAAACAUAAAUGAGAACUAAGCAUAGUCUGACUCCCUAGCGCACAGAGCAAGAGUAAGCUACUUCACUCGAGAAGAAGAAAUAGGCUAAUGAUCGGCUCAGAUAAGGAUGCCUCCUAUCUUUCCAAGCUAGCUCCGAUGCAACUGCUAUGGAAUUAGCUCUUGGGGAUAUUAUAGGUUAGAAGGAAGCCAAUGCUGGAGGAAGUGAAUAAAUCAUAAGAAGUUGUUCAAAAGGGUCUGUUGCUUGCCCGAGUAGGGGAAGGGAUUGACCUAAGGCACGGUUUACUUAUCCCACUCUAGUGCUGGUAGGAAGCAUCCUUUCGAGAGUCUGAACCUUAAUUUAAAGAUGGAAGGAAGACCCGGAUGGACUUAAUUAGGAGCAUAGGCUCUAGUGCUGGUAGGAAGCAUCCUUUCGAGUAGCCUCAUAGGUCAGACCGGUUCCAACCAUUCUUGCUAAGGCUCCUAGUGAAAGAUCAAACUUAAGAGUAAGAAAAAUUUCUUGUCUUACACUUAGAUAGCAGUUGCAAGAUUAAAGACCAGCAGUGAGGGGAAGACUUUUGUAGAGAAGUUUAGAAAGGUUGACUUCUUUUUUGAGAAUUCUUUAUAGAAAGAAGAGAGGGAGGAGAUCAAAACGAAAUACUUGUUUCGAACGAGCCCCUAUCUCAAUUACACGUAAUGAGCUAUUACCCUAUGACUAUGGUUUUCAUUCAUUACACGAUAGGUUGAGAGCAAGAUUGAAAUGCCAUAUCGAGGGAGUCUCCAGCUCUACAUCUAUCUACUAUUAAGAAAGGAAGGGGAUUUGAGUUACCCAGCUCAGUAACAAACAAGGUUCGGAGAACAACCUAGAAAGAACCCCUGUUGAUUCGCCAAAGAUCUACAAGCUAGGAUUCUAGAGAAAGAGAUGCUAUUAAGGAUACUUUAAAAGAACCUUAGGACUUAUCUUGAGUUGGGCAUCCUUGACUCCAUUCCUGACUAGAGAAGGGAAUGCGGUGAAUCACCAGUUUGGAUUGAAGAAUAGGCACCCAUGAAUUAGUAGCAUAUUUUCGGGAUCUAUCGAGUGGAAAACCGGGCGAAGAGCUACCAAACACGAUCACCAAUAAGAGAGUAGCAAGUGCUGGCUUGGGUCUCAGAGCUCCUUAAGCUUGGGUUCGCUUCGUGCUUGCGUUCGACCUUGGCUUUAGGGUUGGCUCCUAGGCCCAGCAAACAAUAAACUACCACACCAGAUCUCCUACGGAUAAUACCCUAAAAGAAAGAGAGGUGAUUCGUCGAUACCAAGGUUGAGGCUCCUUUACAUGCUCAAGAGAAGAACAAGAGGAAUCUUAGCUUCAUAACAUAGGAACAAGAGCUACAAGAGCGGGAUACUAAACCAUUCGAGAAUAAGCAAGUGGAUCCUCGCUCUUGACACCCUCCACCUUAGGAAUAGCUCCUUGCGAACACCUCAGUACAGAUCACCAAACAAGAGAUACUAGCAUUGGUAUCAGAAAAAACAACAUUGAUUGGUUGAAGCACGCUUCGAUUAGCUUCUAGCUCGGUAACAAGAAAGAGAUUGGCAUUCAAGAAAAAAUCAAAUGACGAAGGAAAUACCGUUGAUUUGUCGAGAAUCCAUACCCAGGACUGGUAGACAAGAAGCUAGCAAUCGGAGAACAAAUCAAAUGACGAAGGAAAUACCGUUGAUUCGUCAAGAAUCUACAUCCAGGACUGGUAGACAAGAAUCUAGCAACUAGUGAUACUGGCGAUAGGCCUCAGAGAUACAAUCGAUGAAUCACCGGAACGAAAUACUGGUGAUACGCCGAGAGAUACUGGGAAUUCUACGAAGAAGUGCACCUGGACUAUAGAGAUCCUCACCCACUAAAAAUAGAAAAGGCCGGGGAGGAUCGAUACACUUCGUUGUCCAUCCCAUGGACAACUCCUUCCUCUUGCUUAUUCUUUCAUUUGAGUGCUGCUUGAGUGAAGAAGACGGUUGACUACUUUCAACCAGACAAAAUCAUCUAAUUGACCAUGCCUCCUUAGGCAAUGCAGAUUUAGCAAAAACCAGUACCAAGAUUGACUAAUUAAAGAAUCUUUGUAUUCCUAGAUGCCUGGCAAGACGGGAGAAACACCUAAAAGGCGAAAGAAGCCCUUUGAUCAAAUGAAAGUCCCCAGCCCUAGUUUAGAUAUUCUAUUCGUCAACGGGGUCAUGCUCUUUGAGUAAGAUAGCGUUGAACGUCAAUCCCCUUCUUGGAUUCAGAGAGGUCUGCAACCCUCUGCUUCGGCUUUGGUUGGCGGGCUUUCGUCAUCCAUAUCCAUCACUGUCAGGGGUUAGCGCGUCCGUGCAGACUAGACUCCUUUAAAUGAAAAAAAGUCUCCUUGUAGGCAAAUACCCCCUUUGCAUCAACGUAUUUUUAGCAUUAAUGAAGGGUGGAAGAUACCACGCUGUGGAUCCAAGCACAAAAAGUUUAGGAGGUUUCACCGUCAAUCACGUAAGAUAAGAAGUGAGCUCAGUCAUUAGAUCCUAUGUGUGCCACACAGACGAAUUUUGCCGAUGACUCUUCACAAGUAGGCGCGACGUCGAUUUGAAAAGCAAGCAAGAUGCUUAUUAUCUUAUCUUUAUCUACUUAAAGACUCUGCUUGUACGAGUCUUAAGUGAUUCCAGGGCUGGGAUAAAGCAAGCAAGAUGCUUAUUAUCUUAUCUUUAUCUACUUAAAGACUCUGCUUGUAAGAGUCUUAAGUAAUUCCAGGGCUGGGAUCACGAAUGGAGUUCAGUCACCUUCCACCCCUAACUAGAAAGAGUUCCCUUUCAGCCAGGAUAGAUAGACGAGUUUCAAGGAGAGAGUUAUCUCGUGCCACUAGGUAUUCUCUACCUAGCCACCUAUCUCGCUUUUGGGUAGAGGUAGGCUCUUGCUAGAUGCAAGAUGCUUAAAGCCUUUCGAGCUGCUGCCGCUCAUUCUUUCGUUGUUGCUAGCUUGCGGUCACUCAUCUCUUUGUUGCUAGACGCGGCUUUUUCUUUCGCUCAUGUCGCUUGCCUGUCACUCUGAUUCUUUAUUAGUUGCCAGUCGGUCGCUAGUCCGCCUCACUCUUGAUUGGUUUGAUGGCUUCUUUAGCAGCGUAAGCAGAAGACUGUUGAAAAUUGACGAAGGCUAGACAAUGUAUAGCACUCUGUUAGCGAAUCCCCCUACAACGAAUGAGAAUGAACAAACUCGGUGUAGCGCAAAAGGAGAGAAGAAUAAGCAAAUGGAUCAGAGCAAUUAGCGAGACUUAGAGUGAUUGCAAGCUAUGCUCACUCGGCAAGUGCAGAAUCAAAGUGAAUCAAGCGAGAGGGAAGCUAGUGAGAGAGAAUCCAAGUGAGCUAGAAAGAAUAAGGACAAUACUGACAAUCAAGGCGAUAAAGAGGGCACUCAGUCUUCAGUCAAGCGACUCUACCACCCAGCAAGUAACUGAAUUCACUAAUCAGAGACUCAGACAGACGACUCUACCGCCCAGCAAGAAACUGAACUUGCUAAUCAGAGACUGAGACGGAAACGAGCUUAGUCGUGCCAUAUGGAAAAGAGAAAGGAAGAAGGAGACUAGAAAAAAUAAAAAUGAGAGGACUUCAUGACUAGCUAGAAUGAGCAAGCAUAGAGCAACUCGACAGCGACAGGCGAGCAGUAUAAGCCCUUCUCUUGCCUGGGGUGGGGCAGGGACAUUCCUCUCUGUUAGGUGGGAAGGAGCGAUUCACGACAAGGACGGAAUAAAGAAAAUUAGACUAGUCGUACGAAGGCGGAAAUGAGGGGAAGGUCACCCGAGAGGUUCAGUUGCUUGACUUCAUUGAAGGGGCUUUGGCUAUUCAUUCCCCUUUUCGUUUUGAAAGAAGUAGGCCUAACCUAACUAUGACUAAGGUAAGGAGCUAUUCAUAGGGGUCGAUUCCUGGUUCACCACUCAUUCCGGAGCCCGAGAAAGCACCUCGUUUUAGGUUAGCUGUACUUACUUGUCGCGUACCAGCACAUUUUCGUAGACGGAUUUGAGGGCAUUCAGCUAGCCUAUAUCUCCAUCUCCGCUCUUCUUGCUCCACCAAUAAGCUCCCUUAGCAAUACUAGCCCCUGUGUUAGCAUCUUAGGAAGCCGUGAUAUGAUAAACAUAAGCAUCUCCGUCCAUGUGAGGCCGGCGAUAUGGAUGAUGUAUACCCGUCCGUGGUAGGAAUCAAUCCAAGGGCUACUUUCAGGUUCUACUAAGAGAAUUCUGAAUUCCCGGCUCUUAGUCAUUUCUCUAUGGAGGAGUGGGCGAAUAAAGACCCGGCAAAGGCAGAGCAAGCGCAUGGGAGGUGACACCAACCAAACUCCUGGUUAGGCGCACUCUCAUCGAUCCACCACAAAGUUUAACGACGUAUUCGACCGAGUUUGGAAGAAAAGAAAGGGGCAGCACAUUAUCCAUGUGAAAAUGGAGAUGCGGUUCGGUUCCAGCAUAUCCUCUCCAUAUCUCGCCGAUUCUUCGAUUGCAUACCUAUAAGCAGUAAGUGAUCCUGUUCCCACCCGAGAGCUUGUAGUUGCGAAUCUUGAAGAUCUCUAUGGUGGAUUUGAUCCCACAGACGCAUAGAGCAUCAGAGCCGAUUCACUAAGUCAAUUAGCCAGUUAAAGAACCUCCCCAACAGUGGAAACUCUUUAGCCAGUCGAUGAAGAUACCGAGACUUCACCUCUUCCUUCAAACAAUUGGGCACUACAUUCUAUAAAAAGAAAGUGAAAAUCAAAGGUAAACAAAAGAGAGAACAAAUACGACAGAAAGCGUCAGAGCUUCGAAAGCCUUAAAUUGAGCUUGAAAUUGAGUGUCCUUGAAUUGAGCCUGUUGUAUCCUUCCCAACCCAAGACGAAAAGGCGGUAACAGAACUACGACAACUCCGGAACACAUCAUGCAGUUUCUUUCAACGCAUGGGUUAUGGCCUAGGAGAACUCAUGCGACUAUUGGCGUUGGGGAAGCCAUGCGUUAGGUAAACCAACCGCACAUUUCAAGCGAAGGAGUGAAAGCUACUCGACUGUAAUGGUUGGAGAGGACCUACAACGAGUUGCGGUUGCUUCGCAAGCAAUACUCGACGGUAUAGCGCAUGCGUCUCAUCGUCUUGGGAGCACUCGUAGUUGUUUGAGUCGUUGCGUUAGGGCAAUACUAAGUUGCGGUUGCUUCUCAAGCAAUACUCGACGGUAUAGACCAUGCGUCUCAUCGUCUUGGGAGCACUCGUAGUUGUUUGAGACGUUGCGUUAGGACAAUACAACUACAAGAACCAGUCGUCCUAACGCUAGUGUCAAACCUACUUACAUUGUCCUUAUUAGCACUAGUCAGGUAGUUGUUCCGUAACACCACUAGUCGUAAUAGCACUAGUCCUUUUUGUUCGGUGUUAGGGGGACACACGGGUCGUCGCUAGCGUCAUCGGUUGUUUUGAACACAGAUUUGUCACACUAAUGGUUGUUUGGAAUGCUAAGGCCAAAAGGGAGGCGGUCGGGAACACUAAAGGCGCUUGCUCUGGGCGUUAGGGGCCGUUGCUCACGCAAGUGAACGGGUGUUUUGGAGCACUAAGGGCGACUAGUGGUUGCUUCGCUCGUCAAGACUGAAACCUUCGCUUGCACAACUAGAGUCGUUCCGGCACAUUGAGUUGUUACCAAUAGUAGUGUAAACAACAUUCUCGAAACUAGCGCAUGCGAUAUCCCUCGGUUUCUAUAUGGUAACAAGCAUGUCUUAGGGAAAGAGUAUAGCCGAAGGCGAUCCCAAUAACUACAGGUGCUAGGGAUCGUUUGCCAUAACGCUCUAACGCACGUUGUUAUGGGGCUUUAGAGAUCGCCUCCUCUUGCAAGCAACCGUCGGUCACAAAUGGGAAUAAUCAUACACUAUCAUAGGCGCUUCUAAUUUCGUUGGAGAUUCUCCAUGAAGCAUGACAUGAAAUCCGCCUAGCUACUUACUACUCUACAACACCUAAAAUAAAAAAUGAAAUGGAAUUCAAAUUGGUCGAGAAAAAGAACCGUGCUAGUCGUAAUUUGGGGAAAGAUAGAGAGAUCUCUAGGCUCUCCUGAUCAAAUUGAGAGUUCGUUUUGCCAGUCCAUGAAUAUGCCGCACCAUGCAGUUCAAGGAGUUGGAAAGAUACGGGUCGAAGCCCUGCCUCGAAAAAGUCAAGACUUUUAGGCAAAUUCCACUAUCCGACCCAUCUCUUUCUGACGAUUCCCCGGGUUGUCGGAAUCUCUGGUUCGAUCAGGACCAGGAGUCCCAUUCAUUCGUUUAUGGGAGCGACUCUCUGUUCCCAUUCUCCACCGGGUCAUCAAGUAAUUAGCCAGCUCAAUCCAUUUUUCCAUCCGAUGAUCUUCACCCUAGGACUGACUCUGUUCGACCUGCCUUGAUUGCCUAGCUAAUGGACUCUCUGUUCCCAUUCCACCGGGUCAUCAAGUAUUUAGCCAGCUCAAUCCAUUUUUCCAUCCGAUGAUCUUCACCCUAGGACUGACUCUGUUCGACCUCAUCAAGUAUUUAGCCAGCUCAAUCCAUUUUUCCAUCCGAUGAUCUUCCCCCUAGGACUGACUCUGUUCGACCUACCUUGAUUGCCUAGCUAAUGCUACCGUCGCAAGCAACCUCUCAAAGAAUAGGGAGUGAACGACCCUUCUAUCUGGAUCGGUGAUUCCGUUUGGCUGAUCCAGCUAUCGAAAGUCUUACAAGCAACCUACACUAAGCUAAGCGAGCUAGAAUCUAAUGUGAAUCUUUUUUGGCAUCUUUUUCUUUGCUUUCACCGCGACUUUGUUUGGUCUUCCUCUUUCCUUUGGCCCAUCUUUCAAAGCUAGCAAAAAGAUCGAGCCUUCGGGAUCUCUCUUGAACGGCGGUCGGUCAGUCCUUUUCUUUGGUUGAUGCUGAGACUGAUGCUUUGACUGUCUCCCAUAUCAUUCGAUAAUAAAGAUCCACUACUUGCCUUGUCGACGCUAAACUCAGUACCUCGCUUCCUUACUAGUACACCUACUAGACCCAUACUCAUUACGAAUGUGUUCACCAGACAUCUGACUUAGCAACUGACGCUAAGCUCGGUACCUCGCUUCCUUACUAGUACACCUAAUAGACCCAUACUCAUUAUGAAUAUGAAACCAGACAUCUGACUUAGCAACCUUCUGCUUAGACCGGCACCAAUAAGGAAGGAGAUCAAUGGAUAAUAGGAUAUAGAAGUCAGGUGCGAUGGUCAACUCAGUCAGAGCGGAAGCGGUCAGUCAAGGUUAUCGUCAGACAAUGUAGUGCAUGCCACGGGUAGCGCUUUCCAUAUGAAUAAGGCGACUAUAAUGGGAGACGAAGACGACGUGGGCUAACCAUAUAGAUGUAGCGCUUGCAAGGCUAUUCAGACGAUGUUAGCAAGAUGUAGCGCUAGCUAGGUUAGGGUAGCGCUUGCCAUAAAGAAGCUAGCCAGAAAGUAGGUAAGGCAGGCGAGCGAUAGUACAAGCAUGCUAACACGCAGGCGAGGUUGAAGGGGUCUUGCAAAACCUUCGGAUUAUCGCAAGCACAACCUUUGACCCUUUCGUCGACAACCUCUCAUUUGUUUGACUACUCGCGGGGCCAGCUGCGUUUAGGUAUAAGAAGCCCCACCCGGGAAAAGAGUGUAAAGCAGUACUGAUGUUAAAUUGUGUCCCUUGUUAACGAAAGAGCUCAUGCCAUAAAUUGCUAAUGAAGACCGGGUUCCCAGUCGCUGACAAUUGUGUGUGGCAUUCCAUGCAAUGAAUAUAUCUGUCAAAGACAUAUACAACGUAGAUGUUUUUCUUUGCCUUUCAAGAUAUUGCGUUUAAAGAGAAAGAUAGCUAGUCCUCUUGGGCGGCCGAGAGUGUUAUGUAAAAAGGAGCAAGGAGGAUCUUAUCCUAAAGGAGUAGGAGGAGGAGUAGGAGCUAGCUUUAGGGGCAGAAUCGAAGCGAAUAAAUUAGUUCAUGCCACGACGAUCUAUAUGGAAGGGAUGUUUUGUUGAUGCAUUCCUCUUGAGAAUGAAGAAGAAGAGAGAUCCUCUUUUAAACAGGAAAAUUUGGUCAUGUGGAUUUUCUAUUUCGCCGGAAUUCGUUGGUUGCUCCGUACGAAUUUACAAUGGAAAAACUCUUGUUCGUCGUAAGAUUACUGAAGGAAAGGUUGGUCAUAAAUUUGGAGAGUUUACUUCUACACGGAAACGAAGACCUUCGAGAACAAAUAUAUGACCGGGAAGAAAAAAGGGGAAAAAGUAAAUUCUAAGCGCAUACGGCACGAAAGGGAAAUCCUAUUUCGGUAAGACUUCAUCUGAAUCGUAGUUCAAAUUCAAGUUGGUUUAGUGCGGGUGACCGCGAAAGUCACCGAAUGGGAUAGUCUUUUAGUUCUCCCAGAUUCGAAUAACAAAGGAGGACGUUGCAGAUGCCCGGGGCGGACACGAAUUCUUCUAAGGCUAGAAGACCACUGGAUGACACCCAGGACUAUAGCAUGUUGUGAAAGAAGCACACUGGACGAGCGUGCUUCGACCGUGUCUCCGGGGCAUAGUUGAAUGUAGAUAUCAUGAACACGACGUGCAAAAUACCAGGCCGAGAAACCCGGGCAACCAUUCCCCUAUGUUCCAAUCGCUAGCGCAUCCAGGGCCCGGCGCCCAGCUCAGUUGAACAGGCCUAUCCUGAUCUGAGAAGUGCUAAUUCGGUUCAGAUAGACUUCAUUCAAGAAUGCCACCGCCCUAGGAAUCAAUAAGAAAACAAGUACUAAGUUUCAGAUCAGUGAAUAAAUCGAAAGGAAAGAAGAUACCUUUCUCGCCCAGCGCCUAAAGUGCACUAUGCUCCGCUUCAAAAAAUGAGAGUUUUCGGUGGAACCAGUGAACCACGCGAGCUGGUUAGAUACGUGGGACAGAGGGCUUGUAGUACCUGCUAGCGUGGCUGCGCAUUGGAAGGGAAAGAGCCUAAUUCAACCCCCUCUUUUUUCCUUUGAAAAAAGCAGUAAGGAGUAAGGAGAUUAAACUCUCGGAUGGACUAAGCAACUACCGACCAUUCCGACACGCCCUUGAUCUAUUUUGAUUAAGACCAAAAACCUAUCUCUAAAGUGGAGCCUAGUUUAAGCUGUCAAACAAGUAAUGAUUGAAUGAAAGAAAAACAACUAGUAGGGAUAUGGAUGAAGUCUCGCUCAGUAAAGAGAGUGUUAGGAUUCGUAAAACAGGAGAAGAGCCUUUUCUUUCAAAUGACAACUGCUUCUUCCUGCUGCGAGGGUCUUGAAACCAAACCGCCCCCCCGCCCGAUCAAGUACAUGUUGCUUCGCUGGUAGGCCUACUUAGGUUAGGGUUCCAAACCUCAGUUCUUACCAACCUCCGGUGUGUAAUCUACAUCUUUCUAGCUAGAACUCGGUCGAAUAAGAAUCAUUGAUUCCCUCUGCUGUCAAUUUCUUAUUCAUUCAUUGCGUUCGGCCGGUGCUCCUUUCUCAUCUCAAACCAUAACUACUCUGAGCGUUAGGGAAGAUAAGGGAAGACCGCCUGAGCGAAGCGACCGAAGGAACUUGACUUAUCCGAACCGAACGAUAGCGGCUUUUCAAUUUCUUAUUCAUUCAUUGUGUUCGGCCGUUGCUCCUUUCUCAUCUCAAACCAUAACUACCCCGAGCGUUAGGGAAGAUAAGGGAAGACCGCCUGAGCGAAGCGACCGAAGGAACUUGACUUAUCCGAACCGAACGAUAGCGGCUUAAAGCGUUGCCUAUCACGAGCAGCCUCGCUCCUUGAUCGGCGGGGAGGAGCAUCUACGAACGAUAGCGGCUUAAAGUGUUGCCUAUCACAAGCAGCCUCGCUACUUGAUCGGCGGGUAGGAGCAUCUCAAAGUAUGGGGAAAAGGAUGUUGCGUUUUGACUUUGUCGCCCGGGAUCCACCACAGGUUGGGUUUGAGAGCCGUGUUAUAGGUGACUAUCCAGCACGGUUCAGAGAGCACUUUUAGUCUGCCUUGGUAAAUGGAAGCCCCCCCUAUCAACCAAGAAGGAAGCGGCUCUUCCCACGGCGGAGUCCCCAUUGACUCUAUUUAUUAUUAUGGUAAAUCAGUGUAUCAAGAUGUCAACAUGAGAUCUUAUUUCGGUUUGAUACGUCUACCUACGAGACUCACCUUUGGCUUUCGUCUAGGUAGGUGUAUUAUUAAACAUUUUCCCAAAAGAACAUUCAUUCAUUUCUUUCUUCCCUGUCGACCACGAUGACUGAAACGACGCAAAAAACCCAGUCCCGUAAAGGAGAAGGCCGGUGGGGGGCAUUUGGGAAAGUCGGGCCGAUCGGGUGUCUUCAUUCAAGCAACGGUACAGAAGAAGAACGAAACGAAGUGAGAGGCCGGGGGGCAGGGAAAAGAAUCGAGUCGAUCAGGCUUGACGAUCGGGAGAAGCGAAACGAAAUUAGGAUUUGGCCGAAAAAGAAGCAAGGCUUUGGAUACCAUGACCGAUCACCAUCGAUAAAGAACAAUCUUUCUAAAUCACUUCGUGUCAGCGGGGCCUUCAAGCAUCCGAAAUACGCCGGGAUUGAAAAUGACAUAGCGUUCCUGAUAGAAAAUGACGACUCCUUCAGAAAAACAAACUUAUUCAAGUUCUUUUUCCAAAAGAAGUCCCGCUCCGACCUCCCGACGAGUCAUCUACUUCAAAGGACCCUCCCCGCAUUCCUCCCUUCCUUGAAUUAUUCGGUCAUGCAAUACUUUUUGAAUACAAAGAAAAACAUUCAUUCCUACCCCAUCGUAGUUCUCAAUCAUUUUGUGGCACCGGGCGUGGAUGAACCAUCUACGAUGCGGGGAGCUAAUGCACAGGGAAGAAGGUUGGAUAAAAGAAUAUGUUCUUCCAUCGCUUUUUUUGUAGAAAUCUCGACCAGCGAGAAAAAGUGUUUGGACGAAGCCAAAAAGAGGGUGACCCACUUUAUUCGCUAAGUGAAUGAUCUUCGCUUCGCGGGAACAACAAAAACCACCAUCUCGCUCUUUCCUUUCUUCGGUGCUACCUUUUUUUUUCCAAGGGAUGGGGUUGGGGUGUAUAAUAACCUUUUUUUUGAGGAUGCCCGGGAACAACUCCUAGGUCAAUUAAGGAUAAAAUGUUGGAACCUCAUGGGUAAGGAUAAGGUAAUGGAAUUGAUAGAGAAAUUCAUAGACCUAAAUAGGAUAGGAGAAUUGAUAAGGGGAAUAGAGAUGAUGAUAGAGAUCAUACUGAGAAACAUAAGAGUUUCGUACGGGUAAAACUAUUUUUUGAACGAAGUGAAAAAAAUGCGAUCGUUGUUUUAUAAUAGAACAAACACUAAUAGCUUAAUUGAAUCGGUCAAGAAAAAAUCUGUUUAUCAAAGUGCUUCUCCGAUUGCUCAAGACAUCUCUUUUCAACCGAGGAACAAAACAAGAUCCUUUCGUUUCAUUUUUAGUAAAAUAGUGAAGGAUAUUCCAUUAGUAAUGAAAAAAGUGGUGGAGGGUAUCAGUAUAUGUUGUUAAGGUCGAUUAGAAGGUGCAGAAAUAGCUAGAAUUGAAUGCGGAAAGUAUGGACAUACAUCUCGUAAUGUAUUUAACUAAAAAAUAGAUUAUGCUCCUGCGGAAGUAUGUACUCGUUACGGAAUCUCAGGUGUCAAAGUGUGGAUUUACUAUAGUAAAAAAAAGGGACGUGCUAUAUCUGAAACGUACGAGAUAUAGUAAAUAUCGUAAAGGCAGAUGUAGUAGGGGUUGCAAACCGGACGGUACACAACUUGGUUUUGGAAGAUAUGGCACUAAAAGUUGUAGAGCUGGUCGUCUUUCAUAUCGAGCCAUUGAAGAAGCGCGUCACACUUUAAUCGGACACUUCCAUCGUGCUAUGAGCAGACAAUUCAGAAGAAAUGGUCAGAUAUGGGUAAGAGUUCUCGCAGAUAUCCCUAUUACCGAGAAACCUACAGAAGUAAGAUGGGAAGAGGAAAGGGAAAUCCUACGGGUUGGAUUUCUCGUGUGUCCAGGGGACAAAUCCUAUUUGAAAUGGAUGGUGUGAGUUUGUCAAAUGCUUGACAGGCCGCUACAUUAGCGGCGCAUAAACUAUGUUCGUCAACCAAGUUUGUUCAGUGGUCGUAAGCUUAUAAAUCUGACCCAAAUUCUCCAUUUUGGUACACGCAAAAGCGUUCCAUUUCGGAAGAUUGAAAGAGCCAUCAAUCACUAUGAUCUCUUUCUUAGAAAAGAAACUGAGUAAAUUCUUCCUUUUUUCUCCCAUGCUUUCUGUUGGUCAACAACAAACUAAAGUGCUCUAUACUUCUUCACUACUCGUAUAGGGAAGGUGGAAGAAAUGAAGUCUCUCUUUUUUUGGGGGGAGCAGAGCAGUCAAAGAAUGAACCAAACCAAAUGAUUGUUCUAGAAUGGCUAUUCCUCACAAUUGCUCCUUGUGAUGCAGCGGAACCAUGGCAAUUAGGAUCUCAAGACGCAGCAACACCUAUAAUGCAAGGAAUAACAGACUUACAUCACGAUGUCUUUUUCAUUGCUCCUUGUGAUGCAGCGGAACCAUGCAAUAAGGAUCUCAAGAUGCAUCAACACCAAUAAUGCAAGGAAUCACAGACUUACAUCGUGAUGUCUUUUUUUUCGUUAUUCUGAUUUUGGUGUUCGUAUCCUGGAUCUUAGAUCGCGCUAUAUGGCAUUUCCACUAUAAAAAAAUCCAAUCCCACAAAGGAUUGUUCAUGGAACUACUAUCGAGAUUCUUCGGACCAUAUUUCCUAGUAUCAUCCCUAUGUUCAUUGCUAUACCAUCAUUUGCUCUAUUAUACUCAAUGGACGAGGUAGUAGUAGAUCCAGCCAUUACAAUAAAAGUUAUUGGACACCAAUGGUAUCAGAGUGCUCCUCUCCACGAGGGUGAUUAAAGUGCAACGAAAUGCCUUAACGUUGAAUAUGGUUCGCAAAGCAUCUGGCUUACCAGUAAUCUCCCAUUCCCGCCGUCGAGAGACUUUAAUAACUAAUUCAUUCCAGAAGCGGGGAGUUGAGGUGGUUAGACCUAUACCCUGAAAUUCUCCCACCAUAGAAGCCUAUGGUUCCAUUCUUGUUGUUGCUGGAGGUACACAUCCCUAUUCUCGGUGUGGAACGAUAUACGAGAAAUAGAUGCUCAGCCUUCAAUGUCCGAUAACAGCGCUGAAGUAGCUAAUCUAUCGGCACCAUAGCAGUGGUAUACAACUUUGGACCUAACGGCCAGCCUAGUAACCUUUCAGAAUGGGGGAACCCUGUUGGCAACAACCACGGUAGUAGUUGCGGAACUACUGGGCCGGGAGAGGACAACCUCUUGUUCCUGCUCCUCUUUCUUCGCUUCGGGGACGGAGGUCCUACGGUAGGUAACAGCAGGCACAAGCAAGUUGACCGAAGGGGACCAGCGCUUCUACUCCUCCACCGAGGAGCCGUUCUUGCGAGAAGCAAGGGAUGUCGUGAAUUACGGUAGGUAACAGCAGGCACAAGUAAGUUGACCGAAGGGGACCAGCGCUUCUACUCCUCCACCGAGGAGCCGUUCUAGCGAGAAGCAAGGGAUGUCGUGAACGGUGGGAGGUCAAAGAGAAUUGAACUAUUCAUAGAGUGAUCCUAUGAUUGAUACAGGAUAUAGACUAUCUCAUUCUUUAUUCUAUUCUAUUUCUGAAAGAUAAAAAAAGAAGGGUGACUCAACUUCUCAGCUAGAGUUGGUGGUGGGACCUGUUGGCAUAAUGUACGCUGGAACGUGGGAAUUCGAGGUCUUGUGAACUACUACUAAAAACCUACUUUAUUUUUGUUUUGUUUGUGGACAGACGAUAUUCGGUCAGGCCUAUGGCUGGAUCCUUUUAGAUCUACAGGCCGGCCGGCCCCGGCCGUUUACAUGAGCAUAGAGAAUCUACACUCAAGCGUUCCACUGGGCCCCUGACAGGAUAGGUGAGGAAUCACACUGGAUCUUCUUUUUUUGGGCUACAACUUAGCCGAGCCGACUAGCAUCCCUUCCCACUGUGCAUUUUUCAAACAAAGAAGAUGACUAUAGGAUCGAAUUCGCACUUCAAGAAACUUCUCGUCCCAUACCUUCUACUUGUCUCAUAUGUGUAGAACCUGGUCUUUUUUGUUUCCAGACUCUCCCUCGAAUACAUAAGGCAGGUAAGGCUGGGUGAGAAAUGGUUCCUUCUUGCCAAUAAACUUUCCCUGGCCUUCGAUUAACCUUACUCAUAAAGGGUCUUACAGUCGGGAGAACUACCUAACUAAAGAAAAAUAGUGUUCUUUCUAAGAGUAGGCGUGGACAGCUUUUUGCGGGGACACUUGCAAGUACUGUUUGGGGGGAGGCGGGCGUCGACCCUACCUUAUGAGUAUUCGGACUAUAUCAUUGUCCAUGUUGGGCUGACUCUAUUAGGCAAGAAGACCCCUACUGAUAUUGGCUGACCUGUUGAUAGGCUAUAAGUAGGCCAUUUGCCAUUGCUAUAAAGGCUGCUCGCCUUUAUACGGCUUGGCUUCGCAUUCGCUUGUAAUGGUCGACAGUAUUCCUGCCAUACUAGUAUUCCAAUUAUUUAGAGCUAGAAGAUUCGCCAGAAGCAAGCAAGAUGAGGUUGCUCUGCUUGUAGACAAGGCUCAUUCCGUACCUUACGAGCUCGUGUAGUACUCACCCCUAUCUCUAAAGGGGCUUAUGCACUCCACUCACUGUCUACUAAACGAGCAUUAGAGCGAGCGAGCGAAGCCCUCAAUUUAGUGGCUUCCCUCACCCUCCUCUUUCAUUUCCGCUUAAGCUUCCGUGCUUUGUGGGAUUAAUUGAUUGGAUACCCGAGACCCAUAAUCUUUCCUAGGAACAGCUUCUACGACGAUAGGCAUAAAGGCAUGAUUAGUUCCACAAAUCUCACUGCACUGACCAUAGUAUAGACCCAUAAUCUUUCCUAGGAACAACUUCUACAACGAUAGGCAUAAAGGCAUGAUUAGUUCCACAAAUCUCAUUGCACUGACCAUAGUAAACUCCUUCUCGUUGUACCGAAAUAGAGGUCUGAUUUAAACGACCAGGUACAGCAUCACAUUUGACACCUAAGGAAGGUACAGCCCAACUAUGAGGUACAUCAGCAGAUGUUACAAUAAAACGUAUAUAACUUUUUGCUGGUACAACCACUCUAUUGUCGACUUCUAAUAAACGUGAUUGACCCAAUUCUGGAUCAUCUUCUGGAAUCGUAUAACUGUCAAAAGUGAGUGACUGUUCAUCGGAACUGUUAUAGUCCGAAUACUCAUAAGGUAGGGUCGACGCCCGCCUCCCCCCAAACUGUAACAUCACAUUUGACACCUAAGGAAGGUACAACCCAACUAUGAGGUACAUCAGCAGAUGUUACAAUAAAACGUAUAUUACAUUUUGCUGGUACAACCACUCAAUUGUCGACUUCUAAUAAAUGU
Molecule: long non-coding RNA, 51958 nt
Filed under: Nicotiana benthamiana
Lineage: Eukaryota; Viridiplantae; Streptophyta; Magnoliopsida; Solanales; Solanaceae
Description: long non-coding RNA (NBEN_LNC007324)
Rfam family: tRNA (bases 2924-2997)
Source: RNAcentral